AGAUUUACUGAGGUUGUGCUUGAUCACUUCCAUAGCCAGCUCCCUAUUUUGCAUCAAGUUGUCACUCUCUGCCCAUAUUGAAUCAGGCAGUGCUGACUCAGCCACAAUUGGAGGGGAAAUCCAUAUAAUGCUUGAAAUGAGAUCAUUUUCAAUGAUGUGUGGUAAGAAGUAUUAUACCACCACUCUGCCAAGGACAACCGUCCAUGCCACUUUCUAGGUUGUUGGAAACACAUGCACCUGAGAUAGUUUUCCAAACACUGAUUUAUUCUCUCAGUUUGGCCAUCAGUUUGAGGGUGGUAGCUUGUGCUCAUGUGUAGCUUCACCUUCAUGGAUUUAAAAAGUUGCUGCCACAGGUUGCUUGUGAAGAUUCUAUCUCUAUCAGUGACAAUAACCAUAGGCAUGUCAUGCAGCUUAAAGACAUUGUCAGAAAAUGCUCUAGCUACUGUCUGAACUGAUAUAGGAUGCUUCAUGGAUAUAAAAUGAGCAUAUUUUGUGAAUCUAUCCACCACUACUAGGAUCAGGUCUUUGCUCCCAGACACAGGCAAUCCCUCAACAAAAUCCAUGCUUAUAUGUGCCCAAGCAAAAUCAGGAAUAGGAAGAGGCUCUAGUAAUCCAGGAUAUAGUGUGUGCUCUGCUUUGUUAACCUGACAGAUAGGACAACUUUUGACAAAUAGCACCACAUCUUUCUUUAAGCCUGACCAGUGAAAAACUAGCUUGACCCUGUGAUAAGUUGCUCUCUCACCAGAAUGUCCACCUAGUACUAAAUUAUGAAACACUUUCAUUAUUUCUUGUCUCAGCUCAGUAGCUUUUCCUACCACCACCUUACUUUUAUACCUCAGAAUUCCAUUACUGAAAGUAUAAGCAGUACUGUUUUCCUUAUCUACCACACAUGCAGCAAUCAACUCCUUGAUUUUAUCAUCAUCCUCAUAAAUUUUAAUAAUCUCCCUGACCCAAGUAGGUGAAACAGAUGUUGCAAUCAGAGCAGAAAGCUUAUGUUUCACCCUAGAUAAAGCAUCAGCAGCUCUGUUUUCCUUUCCUUUUCUGUAUUCCACAGUAAAGUUAUAACCGAGCAGCUUCAACAAAAGUUUAUGCUGAAUGCCCUGAGUGAUCUUUUGCUCCUGGAUGUACUUUAGACUUUCUUGAUCUAUUCUGAUUACCAAGGCAGUAGCUGCAAAGUAAUGCUUUCAUUUUUUAACUGCUUCAAUGAUGGCUAGAGCUUCUUUAUCAUAUGUAGACAUAACUGUAGCUUUUGGGCCAAUUGUCUUACUGAAAUAGGAGAGGGAUCUUCCUUCUUGCAUUAGAACAGCUCCUAAACCAUAACCACUGGCAUCAGUUUCCAAAAUGAAUGGUUUUGUGAAAUCACGCAAAGCCAGCACAGGAGUGUUAGUCAGCUUCUGCUUCAAUGUCUCAAAUGCCUUGGUUUGUUCCUGCUGCCAAUCAAAUGCAUUCUUUUUCAAACAAUCAAACAAUGGUUUGCAAAUUAUCCCAUAUCCCUGAAUAAAUCUCCUGUAGUAACCACUCAAGCCCAAGAAACUUCUUAAUUCAGUGAUAUUAGCAGGAAUAGGCCAGUCCUGAACAGUCUUAAUCUUGCAGGGAUCCGUGGACACUCCUUCUUCAUUGAUAAUGUGACCUAGAUAUUCCACUUCUUUUUUCCCAAAUGAACAUUUCUCUAUUUUGGCAUACAUCUUAUUCUUGCAGGAUCUCAAACACCUGCUUGAGGUGCUCCUUGUGCUCCUCCCAUGUCAGACUGAAGACCAAUAUGUCAUAAAAAAAAACAACUACAAACUUUAGCAGGCCAAAUAGCAGAUUCAUUAGUGCUUGGAAUGAUGGUGGGCCAUUAGUGAGCCCAAAAGACAUCACCAGAUACUAAAACAAUCCCAUGUGAGUUGAAAAAGCAGUUUUUGCUAUAUCCUCUUCUGCCAUUCUUAUCUGAUGGUAUCCUUUCUCAGGUCAAUUUUUGAGAAAUACUUUGCUCCUUUCAGCUGAUCCAAUAAAUCCUCAAUGACAGGUAUUGGGUAUUUGUUCUUUACAGUGAUAACAUCCAGCUUCCUGUAGUCAGUACAAAGCCUCCAAGAUCCAUCCUUCUUCUUUACUAGCAACACUGGAGAAGAAAAAGGGCUGGUGCUAGGCCUGAUCAAUCCUUUCUUCAGCGAGUCCAAAAUGAUUUCCUCCAGAAUUUCCUUUUGAUGAUGUGGUACUUUGUACGGCCUCUGGUUCACCACUUUUGCUCCUUCUAUGAGUGGAAUCCUCUGAUCACAGGGUCUGCUAGGGGGCAAUCCACCAGGUUCCUGAAAUAGCUUCUCAUAUUGUUGAAGUAGUGGUUGCAAAUCAUUAGGUACUUCAGUAGUUGUUAACUCAUAAUUUGCUUCACAUAUAGGAAACAGAAAGAAGCCACAUACAACUUGCUCCAUUAACCUACUAGUCUUGUCCUUGCUUUCAGUGAUCUUUUCCAAGGGGACAGUUUCAUCCACAAAUGUGAUUACUUGACCUUGUGUGCCUGCAAUCUUCAACUCCAUCUUGAUAAAAUCCAUUUGAACUGGACUAUAUUUCUUAAGCCAAUCCACUCCCAAUAUCAUAUCAUAUCCGGUCAACUUAAGGAUCCUGAAUCUGUCACAAAAUUUACUGCCCUGAGUUUCAUAUGGACAGUCUUUGACAGUAAAUUCAUUCCACAGUACCUCCCCACUAGCUACCACCACUUUCACCUUAGUGUUAGCUACAUGUGCAAUGGACAUCCUUCUUGCCAUUUCAGGAGAUACAAAUGUAGCAGUGCUACCACUGUCUACUAGAGCAGUAACUGUCACUUCCCCCACUUUCACUGACAAAAUAAAUGUGUUUUUAGCUGAAUUAAGGCCAUGAGCAGCAUGUGCUGAAACAUAUAGUACAGUUUCUGGUGCUGCUGCUUCUUGUGUGUCCAAGUCAGGGUCCUCAAAAUCUGUCACAAAUAUCACAUCUGAGUUAUCUAUUUCUUGAUUUAACAUGGCUUAAAUCUGUGCUUUCUGGCUCAUCUUGCACACCUGUCUAUGCCCUGGAACCCAUGGUUCCCUACACUUGCAGCAGACCUGGUUUUGCUUAGCUUGUUGGAUAAGUGUACUUUUUGCUAGAGGAGGUGUACUAUUCUGGCCAGGUGCUUGCUUAAAAUUCACCUGUCUCUUCACUUGUGGGAAGUAAGGCUUUGUCUGCACCACUGCAGGAGAUGGUUGUGCUUUUUUCCAUCCUCCUUGCAUAAAACACAACAGUUUGCAUAUCUUUGGGCUUGAAACACUCCACAUGACUUUUGAUGUAAGGGUGUAAGCCAGCUAUAAAGCUAGUCACAUAAUAUUCAUUGGGAAUUCCAGGGUUCUCCCUUCUCAUGAUGUUCAUCAAUUUCUCAAACUGUUCCACAUAUCUUGUCACAGUUGUUACUUGCUUGACAUCAUGAAAGGAAGUCACAAUAUGACAAACAAAUUGUACUGAGAAUCUCGUAGACAGUAAGGAGCAGAAUUUAUGCCAAGCAAUGUUACCAGGGGCAAAACCAGUACCUCUCCACCACUGCACAGCAAGUCCUUUCAAGUAAGAUAUUGCUAGUUCAGUCAUGUGCUCAAUAGGUGUUCUUGCAGCAGCAAAAUAUUGCUCUAGAUUCUGUAUCCAGGAUUCAGGAUCAUCUCCUUCAAAUUCUACCAUGUUGAGCUUAGCAGGUUUCACAGUAAGAGGGCUUCUUCUACUGUCCAUUGGGGUACUAACUCUUCUUCUAUAGUUGUUUUCAUAUCCUUCUAUCUCCUGCAAUUCUUCCUCUUGAACAACAUGCACAACCAUAGCAUUUUGACCCAUGCCCUCAGCUUUGUUAAUGCCAAAGUUUGGAUGCCUGUAGGGUUACUUCAAUGUACCAUCCAUGUUCAAUUCCCUUCUAGUUUGAUCCCUCAAUACUGCUGUACCAACUCCUCCCACAACAGCUUUUUCAGGCAUAGUCACAGAUGGUGGUGUAUCUGCUGCUAGCUGUUUUGGGCGCCCUGGUGCAAUCAUAGGUGAUCCUCCAGGGUUGUCUUUCUGCACAGCUGCUCCCUGUACUGAUGCAUGAUCAGCUGCAUCAUCUUUACCAGGAUCAGGGUCUAGUAAUAAUCUCGUGAAGUUAUCUUGGAUCUUGUCAAAAAAAUUCUGCAUUGUGAUGAAAUUCUUGUUCGCUGUUGCUUGGAACUGGUGGAAUUCCUUUCUAUCCUCAUCUCUUUCUUGCCUCAGUGACUUCAUAUCUAACUCUAAUGACUCCAGCUGGAAAGCAGCAGUUGUGGCCGACUCUGCUACUCCCGCCAUGAUCACAAUCCAACUGCUUCAAAGGGAGGGAAAAGGGAGGGAAUUUACCUAGCCCACGUUGCUCACACCGCCCCCAGCAACCUCCCUGCUCUGGAUCGAUCUCCAAACCUGGGGUUUUACCACUGCAGCAGGGUGCUCCAACAACCAGGACGAAGACCCAUCAACAUCCGCCUUCCGAUCUGAGAUCUACUAUCUUGCUGCGCCCGCCCCCUUUUUGCCGAGGAAAGACCGGGCCUUUGAUACCGAUUGUCAAGCUCUCGCUAACUACAAACAGAGUAUGAUCACGAAUAGUGGAACAGGAGCUUAAUUCAAAGGAGAAAUCGCGAGGAAAUUGGAGCUUUACUGAGAAGGAAAUGGUAAUGUAGCUCGCCACCGGCGGCUAGGGUUCAACCCUGGAUUACAACAAGCAUAAAGUUGGUAAAGGGGAAAGUUACAUGGCUUUAUAUCCAGAGGAGGAGAAGGAUGCGCGGCUACGAGCAGGAGAGGGACGCGCGACCGGCCAGGGGCUUUGUCGGAAUUUCCAUAGUGCCGCUUUAUGUCACGACCGUUGGAUCAGCGAUGAGCGGUAGAUAACGCUUCCGACACCUUCCACAGUGCAUUGAUCAUCAGGUGCUUCCUUCAGAGCCUGACAUCCGUUUGCCGCCCAAGGACAUCCUCCGCUGCCGCGCCAUCUGCAGGUGGUGGCACAACGCCACCUCCACCGACAAGUUCAUGCUGGACAACCACCGCCACCAGCCCUUGCUCCCGAUCCUCAGCCAAUUUGUCGACGCCCAGCGACACCGCCUCUUGUUUUCCUUUGAUGCUGGUGCAGGCCAGCAACAGCUCUGCCCUGUCAUGCAGACCUACUACAAUGAUAUACUCCACGCUGCCCUUGAUGGCCUCCUCAUCGUCUCCCACCGCUUCAUGUUCUUCAUCUGCAACCCGGUCACCCGCAAGUGUGCUCCCCUAGCGAAGCCUCGGACCCAACGGGUUUUUUACCCCCAGAUUGUUGGCUUCUAUCGGCACCAACCAUCUGGAGGAGAAUACCGAGUGCUUUGGGUCGCUACGGAUCCGGAAUGCUACAAGGCACAUAACACAAAUUACAGAACUUCCUACUACGUCGUAGCGGUGGGAUCUGAUAAUACACGAUACAUUGGACAAGGAUGCAUCCCACAACAAACAUCCUCGCCGCCUUCCUCGGAGCUGGUGUUACGCGGGGUCCUGGCCGCUUCGUGUGAAUAUCCACCAGCCCACCAUCGUGGCAGCAUGCAUUGGAGACUUGAAAAAUACUACGGCUGGGAUGGGAACUCCAUAAUGGUGUUCAACACAGGAGCUGAAACAUUUCGAUUGAUGUGUCGUCCUGCCCGAUUGUCCGACUGUUUUCAUGAGUCGUUGCUGGAGAUGGAUGGCACUCUUGCUUUGUGCAGCAUCCGUGGUGACAAACACACCAUAGAUGUUUGGGUGUUAUAGGAUUAUGAUGCGGAAACCUGGUCUUUCAAGCACCGGAUUAAUUUGACCGGGGUGCAUCCAUCAGCACUUCCGAAGGUGACAAUGAUCCAUAGGAUGGCUGCUCUCAGAGAGGGUGUGCUGCUGGUCCGGUUCACUUGUAGGCGUGUGUUGCAUUUUGACAUUGAUGGCAAGUUUUUAGGAUAUGUGAAGAGCAGAGAUGACCAAGAAAUCGACUUGUGGAUUACCAAGCAUUACCAGAGAGGGAGUGUUAUUCCCCUUCCACCGUCCCAUGAGAUGAGAGAAGAAGAUGGUGCAAAUCAUGAGCCUACGUUUUUCUUAGAACUGUAGGAUGCAGUGCUUGAUCUGGAUGUUCUACACUGCUGGUUUGCUGCGCCAUUGGAGUAUUUAUUCUAUACGCACCUUGUCUUUUGUUCUUAGUUGGCCUCCAUAGUGUUGCUUGUAGAAUUGAACAUUUUGGAUGGUAGCAGAGCACUUUUGCUAUCAUUAUUUGAUGUCCAUUACCAUGCCUUUAGCAUCACAUCGAAAUUCUGAACUACGGGGAAUCUUUGAUAUAGGACUACUCUAAUUUACCCCCCCUCAUUACUUUGAGUUUGCAUUAUUUAGAACCAGCGAAGGUUCUAAGAACCUCACUUGGUUGGCCCUACUGUUUUGUGUGGCGAUAUUUUUGUCGGGCAAAUUUGUAUAACUUGGUUCAGUUUUGUACUCAGUACAAUUUUAUGUCAAUUGAUAUUAUAGUAUGGUUAUUGUUAAAAAUCAAGAAUCUUAGCAAGUAAUCUUAGUUCCUUGUCUUUGACAUGUUUUGAGAAAGAAUUUCUUACUUUGGUUGUAUCUUGUAUGUUGGUGAAUUGCUAGUCUUGCCAGGGUAUUAUUUCGUGCCAUUUUUGUGUAUAGGAUUUGGUGUUUUCGGGGUAGAAGUGAUUCGGAGAUUUGCUUUUAAUUUAGAUGGUGCGUAAUUUGAUUAUUCGAUGUUUUUGUAUGUAAAUUCUUAGACCACAUGGAAAAGUCCAGCAGUUUCAAUGUUGUUUAUGUGGGUAGACAUGUAUAAUUCUGCAACAUACUCCCCUUCAUCUGGAUUAACUCUUCACAUGUUAAAUUCAGCCAUUCAGUAAUGCUUCUUUGGGUGUUUAAUCCAGCUCCAUGUAUAUCAAACUGCAUAAUAUAUUAAUCAUUUAAACAAUGAUAUAUACUCCAUCCAUGAGAUGAGAGAAGAAGAUGGUGCAAAUAUUUAACUUCAUUGCCUUUCAUCAUUUGAUAUGCCCCCUGAUUACUUGUGCAAAACGAUACAAAAUGGAGAUCUCUCUUACCGAGAGUUUUUCUCUUUUCUUGUUUGUGCAGACUGAGUUUUAAGCUUUGGGAACAGUGAUGUAAUAAAAUUCUCCCAGUCAACUUUCAUAUGGUUUCUUUUUUAAGCGAAAAUGUAUUUUUUUUGGGGCGGGGAAUGGAUGUUGAUGUGAAGUUGUGAACUGUUUGCAGAGUCCUUUAUUUUUAAGCUGCUUCUAUCCACAUGUUUUGCUGCAACACAUUUUUUUUUGAAAUUACACUGGCAGCCUGAACAAUUACUGUGAAUACAUGUGGAGUGUGAGUGGAAUACAUAGAUUUAGAUUUUACCUUCUCCCUGCUUCCUCUUCUCCCUUUUUGGAGGAAUCCAAAAUAUAUGAUGCAAUGCUUAUAAAGCAAAUAAAACCGCGAAGUGAUUCCUGGACUUUGUUUUGAAUCUUUGGAUAAAAAUGCUACUGGUAGGUACCCGUAAUAGGUUUUGGGAUUAUGUUCACGUGAAAUGAUAUUCAUCAUCAUAUGAAGUUAAAAAAUACAAUAUAUGUGAACCACACUGAACAACAUCACCCAGGACAGCCGUUUUGGCACAUAAGCAAAAGCAGCCCAUAUUUUUUUUUGUAAAUAGACCUUUAAGGUAGUCGAUUGUUGAACCAAAUCGUCGGCAUCCACCAACCACACCAUUAACAUCGCCGUCCGGGAAGACAAAUACCGCAAACCGAAAAACCAUGGGAGCACCAUCACACCAAUGCUUUGUGAGCCGAAGAAAGCACUGCUGUAGAUGACAAAGCAGCACAUAUAGUUGUGGCGUGUCGACCUGUGGUGUGAAGCCCAACCCGUGUCACCAUGGCCGUAGCAAACCACGACUUCGGGCUGCAAGCCGUCGUGCUCCUUCCCCGCUUGCCGAGUAGUAUGAUAGUGGCCUCUCUGGUGUGACAUUGAUACAUUCCUUGCAAACCUUUGGGACAGUUCUUCCACCGCCAAUGCAAGAAAUCAAUUAAUCCGAGCAUUCUUAAAAAUCCUCUGGCCUCUUCAAUAGAUAACAACUUCUUCGUGUCCUGUGCAUUUGGUUCUCUCAGAUACUCUGCUCCAAAAACCUCCAUCACACCACGGGCAAACUUGAUAGUAGUCUUUAAGCAUGUGCUCUCCCCCACCCUAACCAUCUCACCAACGACAUCUGCAGCAGUACCAAGUGCAAGCAUUCUCACAGCAGCCGUGCACUUUUGUUUGGCAGAGAAAGAGAGUUGACUGCAGCAAUCCCUUGUGAGCUUGAAGUAGUCAUCGUGUGCCUCCACUCCAUCCAAACAAUGAUUUCCGCAUGCGAAAACAGCGACAAAACCAUGGAUCAUUCCGGAAAGUUGGGUUCGGAGCAAAAUUAUCCUUUUGGAGUAGCUUUGCUCCGCAUAACCUAUCCCGAUUGAUCACUCUUCUCCCUUUGAUUGAGCCUUUAAAAUUAAGAAUAUGCUCCACUUGUCGAUCAUGUUUACUUCUUCGACCGGAUCCGACGAAUUGAAGAACUGAUCUUUAAUCAUUUGAUCAAGCUACGUCAGACCAUACUCCUCGUCGGACGAAGCAUAAUCCAUCGUUUUCCCUAAAAAAUCAUGGAAAAUCUGGUUAGACAAUGUGUCGAACACAUCCAGCGCAAGGUAGAACCAGGGAGUUGACAGACGUACCGCGGUGGCUUCCGGGCCGGCAACGACGUUCCCCGUGGCAAGGACGGAACAUAGGACUGCUCUGCCGGAGCUGGCGGGGCAAAGGCUUGGAAUGACUGCGGAGCACACGCGGCAACUAAGCGGCGAGACGAAUGAUGCGGAGGAAGAAAAGAGGAAAAAACAAAUGGAUCCAACAUUUCUGCAGGGUGGAUUUGAUGCAAUUUGCGAUGGGGUCAGGUUGUGUCCGACGUGACGAACGUGCACGGAUGCCCCCAUAUCCGCCCCACAUUUAAACUGAAUAUGAGGGGUGUCGGUUAGCCCGGGUGUUUGAGACUCGUUUGAGACGCGUGACUAGGUCAAAUUUCGUGACCGAUGAAUGACCGGAUGGCCUAUAUAUCCGGACAUAUGAGGCGGAUUUGAGGCGCCCGACUAAUGCUCUAAUGGAAGAUACAUCAUUGGAUGGAAAGGGAUCGAACGCACACCAUGCAACCGGUAUGAGGUCGCCUCGAACACAUUAUUUCCCUCUUUUUAGCUAGACCGUGCGGGGCAAAGUAUGGGUAGUUGUCGGAGUUGCCUUCCUCAUGUACACACCUAUGGUAGUUGUGUGGAUAGCGCGAAAGCAGCCCUUCUCAGUGAGAUGGGUCCAUGCCGUUGGCGUUGGAAUUGUGGGAUGAGUCAUUUUAUGGGGAUUGACGCCCACAUUCUAGAGAUGCUACAUACAAUUAUCUCUGAGAUAAUCCAGAAUCUCACCUAUCUCCUGAACAUUGGGAAGGGCUUGGUUGAGUGUGUUUUGCGUGUCAGGCUCUAGAUUGGCGAUGAAGUUGCUGUUUAAGACGGUUAGAUAGUAGCCCACACAUUUUCUUUUGCCUUUUUUCCCACUCUAUCAAGAGUGUGAGCCAUGCCGCAUUUUGUAAAGUGUGAGACAUCUAUGUGCCAUUCUGUUUUCUAGGAAAAGGAAUGAAAGGUCUGAUUCUCCUGUGACACUUGAGAUUGGUUCCAACAUUUUUUGUUGUUGUUCAUUUUGCAAAUUUGUAUCAAGUGUGCAGAGAAAAUCGGUUAUUCGCCAUUUUCAAUACCGGGCUUCGCAAAACUUUCACUGUCAACAUUGGCUUCGGAAAAAUGCCACCCAGCUCGUGGGCACUUUGAUUAACAUGCCAUUUUUCCUUUUUUCUAUUAUUUUCCUUUUCUUUUCCAUUUUCUGGCAGCUGAAAGGACCAAAGUGCUCUUAGAUCUUACAGCCUUACCCGAUGUGUUUGUGGCCUGGUUUGGAUGGAUUGCUGGUGGCUAGCACAUCCUUGUCGUCAGAUUGCUUGCAUUAUCUAUCUUCACAACUUGCAUGCACGCAUCCGUCUUCUCCUGCAACUGCUGCUGCCAACACGCCAAGAGGGCAAGCUGCGCUGGCGCGNAUUUUUCUUUUCUUUUCCAUUUUCUGGCAGCUGAAAGGACCAAAGUGCUCUUAGAUCUUACAGCCUUACCCGAUGUGUUUGUGGCCUGGUUUGGAUGGAUUGCUGGUGGCUAGCACAUCCUUGUCGUCAGAUUGCUUGCAUUAUCUAUCUUCACAACUUGCAUGCACGCAUCCGUCUUCUCCUGCAACUGCUGCUGCCAACACGCCAAGAGGGCAAGCUGCGCUGGCGCGCAUAUAGGCGUGGGCGAGCAGCUGCGGCGAGAGGCGGUGGCUCGCGCACAGGCAUCUGCCAGGCUGCACCGGCCCGUGCAGACGUGGACGAGCACCGACGGCGAGCUGCAAGCAUCAACGCGACAAGGACGAGCACCGUCGACGAGCUGCAGGGUGCAGGCAUCAUCUCGACAAGGGCGAGCAGCGGUUGCUCACACAGGCAUGGUCAAGCUAGGGCGGCGAGCCGCGAUGCUGCGCGCAGGCGUGGGCUAGCAACUGCGGCGACCGGUGGUACCUCACAUGGGCAUGGUCCAGCUAAGAUGGCGAGCCACGAUGGUGUGCAGAGGCGUGGGUUCGCAACAGUGGUAGUCGGCAGUGUCCAACGAUUGAAGCAAGACGUGCAGGCGAUCAGGGAUGCGGCAAGCACGAACUCAUCCGCUUUAAGCGCUCUUAUCUGAUGCUAAAUACGUGAAGAUAGCAGUAGAUAUCACCAGGGAUACUUUGGUUCUUUCAGGUGUCAGAAAAUGGAAAAGAAAAAGAAAAUCAAUGAUGAAAAAAGGCGAAAUGGCUUCUUAAUCAAAAUGCACACGAGUUGGGUGGCAUUUUUACGAAUUCAAUGUUAAAAGUGACAAUUUUGCGAAGCCCCGUAUCGAAAAUGGCAAAUAGCCAAUUUUCUCGAGUGUGCAAAAGUCGAAUAAAAAUGGCAAGGAAAUCAGAAGAACUAGCAGUGACAUGGAAACCAAAGGGCUGCUUUUUUUUGUUGCGUGGGAAAAAAAGGCCUACUUUUUUUGUUGCGAGGAAAAGAAAGGCCUACUUGCAAGCAAGCAAGCAUGCCUCCCAUGGAUUUCACAGGGUGCACUCUUUUGCAAAUCAACAUCCUCGUUUCUGCUGCAGGAUGUCGCUUGAUGCUCAUGACUCCCUGACAUCUUCCUUUUCGCCAUUAUCUCCGCAAGCCCUUAAUGAAUUUCUUGGCUAAAUGAAAGCGUUGCAACUGCAAUUUCAAGAAAAGAAAAGGAAGGGUUGUAACUGCUAAAAGUUCCAAAAAUACUCCCUGACAUCUUCCUUUUCGCCAUUAUCUCCGCAAGCUUUUAAUGAAUUUCUUGGCUAAAUAAAAGCGUUGCAACUGCAAUUUGAAGGGAAAAAAAAAAGAAGCGUUGCAACUGCUAAAAAUUCCAAAAAAGUUGGAGAAGUGGGGUAUCGAUCCCCAUACCUCUCGCAUGCUAAGCGAGCGCUCUACCAUCUGAGCUACAUCCCCUCAUGCUGUCUAAAAAAUAAGAAAGUUUUACUACUUUUAACUAAUUUACGUGUCAUAGUUUAUUAAGGAAAUGAGAAAACGUAAAUUGUUAUUAAGUGGAUCAAUAUGCCAUGCUACCCACCGAGCAACACGAGAUUUCUUAACCAGCUCAUCUCCUAGUGUAUCCGACUCCCCACUACCAGAAAAUAAACCUUCGCCCUCAUUACAUCUUCAGCUAAGUUUGCGCAUUCAUACAAAAAUGGCAGGGCCAUUUGAUCUGUCACCGUUAUUCAUAACUUCAAUCAGGGUGCAGUCCGAUUCGAAGAUGACCCGCUUGAUUCGUACGCACAAUGUUCAUGUGAGUGGUGUGUUCGGCUAGCUGCAUUCUGCGCAACAAUGAAACUCCAGAAACUAGAUAGCAUCUCUUCUGGUUCUGCAGCUUUGGCGAUAGAUGCUCGAGCCCGGAGGUCUAUCAAUCUCCAACUGCCCAAGCUGAGUUCAUGCAAUGGGGAACUUGUUUAAAAAAAUGGAUUAGGGUGAUCAUCUCAAAAAAUAAUAAGUACUCGUAUAAAUGUUUCCUCCUUCUGACCUUAAUUAAAGACAUAUCCUUCCGUGGUCGAACGCCCUUGCACACAAGUAGGCCGGAGGUGAUCUUGCUUUUCUUUUAAAAGACUAGAUGUAAGUAAGCAACAUCAUUGUAUAGACAUGGCAGUAUUUUUUUUUGCUUCAAUACUAGUUGUUUUUAUCCACAACUGAUUUACUUGCAUCAUGUUAACCGAACACAAACUUGCAUCCGAACCGAUAGUUUUCCACAACAGUGUGUGUGUGCGCGCACACNCACCGCACCGCGGGAGACAGGAGAGUCAGAAGGGAACUAGGGUUGGGGGAGGUGAGCCGAAUUGAGGAAAUCGGGAGGGGGAAAAAGGAGAAUGCUUCACCUGGUCGCCGGCGUUGCCGCCGCGCUCGUGCUCCACUCGCCCGCGGUCCUGGAGUUUCGGGGCCGCCCGUGUCGCUGCAAGGCGGUGGAGACGCGCCGCGCCGCCCGCGGUCGCCGAAUUCUUGGCGUGGUCGCCGGCUCGCCGCCCUUGGUCGGCUUGGUGUGAAUGGCCGGCGGCACUGCGACCCUCCUCCUCUGCUCCCUUUUCUUUCCUCCACUAUACGGGACGCAGCUUCAGUGACUUGAUCAACGCAAGUCUCACUCUAAGGCCCCGUUUUUUAAAAUGUCCUAAGACUUUUUUUUAGUCUCAACUAAAAAUUCUCUACUCUUUAUCCGUUUCUUUGCAAGGACUAAACAUAGACUAGAGGUCAUUAAAUGACAUGCAAAAAGACCAUGUUACCCCUAGUAAUAUACUAGAAGUUAUUAAAUUACAUGCUAAAACUAGGGGCACUGUUGGAAAAAGUGCCAAAAAAGUUUUAAAUAGUCCCUCCCAUACGGACUUCUCCUUUAGUUCCAAAUACCCCUUUUAGUCCCUAAAAGUCCCUCCUGUUUUUUCACAUGGGACUAAAAAUGACUUUUUUUUAGUCCCUACACCAAAAAGUCCCUGGAAAGAAACACCCCUAACUUAGCCUCCUCUAUCAAUCAUCCGAUAUAGAUCCGACGUACCAUACUGAUUCAAAUUUUAAACAAAUUUUUUAGAAGUGUUUAUUUUUUUUGAAAAGAAAUCAAUAAAUCAUAAAUAUUUUGUUUUGUAUUAUGCGAAAAUUUCAGUCCAUUUAAAUGUAUCAUUUAUGAAUAAACAAUAUUUAUUUAUUUGACCUCAAAAGGCUAUUUAAUCACAAUCGAUACAUUCAAGUGGACUGAAAUUUUCACAGAAUACAAAAUGAAAUAUUUAUGAUUUAUUGAAAAAAACAUUUUUUNNNNNNNNNNNNNNNNNNNNNNNNNNNNNNNNNNNNNNNNNNNNNNNNNNNNNNNNNNNNNNNNNNNNNNNNNNNNNNNNNNNNNNNNNNNNNNNNNNNNNNNNNNNNNNNNNNNNNNNNNNNNNNNNNNNNNNNNNNNNNNNNNNNNNNNNNNNNNNNNNNNNNNNNNNNNNNNNNNNNNNNNNNNNNNNNNNNNNNNNNNNNNNNNNNNNNNNNNNNNNNNNNNNNNNNNNNNNNNNNNNNNNNNNNNNNNNNNNNNNNNNNNNNNNNNNNNNNNNNNNNNNNNNNNNNNNNNNNNNNNNNNNNNNNNNNNNNNNNNNNNNNNNNNNNNNNNNNNNNNNNNNNNNNNNNNNNNNNNNNNNNNNNNNNNNNNNNNNNNNNNNNNNNNNNNNNNNNNNNNNNNNNNNNNNNNNNNNNNNNNNNNNNNNNNNNNNNNNNNNNNNNNNNNNNNNNNNNNNNNNNNNNNNNNNNNNNNNNNNNNNNNNNNNNNNNNNNNNNNNNNNNNNNNNNNNNNNNNNNNNNNNNNNNNNNNNNNNNNNNNNNNNNNNNNNNNNNNNNNNNNNNNNNNNNNNNNNNNNNNNNNNNNNNNNNNNNNNNNNNNNNNNNNNNNNNNNNNNNNNNNNNNNNNNNNNNNNNNNNNNNNNNNNNNNNNNNNNNNNNNNNNNNNNNNNNNNNNNNNNNNNNNNNNNNNNNNNNNNNNNNNNNNNNNNNNNNNNNNNNNNNNNNNNNNNNNNNNNNNNNNNNNNNNNNNNNNNNNNNNNNNNNNNNNNNNNNNNNNNNNNNNNNNNNNNNNNNNNNNNNNNNNNNNNNNNNNNNNNNNNNNNNNNNNNNNNNNNNNNNNNNNNNNNNNNNNNNNNNNNNNNNNNNNNNNNNNNNNNNNNNNNNNNNNNNNNNNNNNNNNNNNNNNNNNNNNNNNNNNNNNNNNNNNNNNNNNGUGUGUGCGCGCACACACCGGCUGAUUGCAGCUGAGCUGAAGACUGAAGGAGACAUUGGUCCUCAUGUAGGAUGUAGCUACCCUUUCUCUCGAAAAAGGCUUUGCCAAUCCCAUCAGACAGCUGAUUGCAAGAUUUCAAGCAUUAUAAACACCUUUCGUGCUUGACAGAAUCAACAUCCUACAUGUACAAUAUGUUAGAAUCCCAUCAUCAGUAUUUUGCAUGAUAUGCUGCAAGAUCUUUUUUAUUUCUUGCAACAUAUAGGCAUCUCUGCAUUUAACUUCCAGAACUAACACAAAAAAUACCUCGGGUUCCACAUAAUUGGAAAGAUGACUUUUUAUUACUGUCUCUCUUUAUAGUACCACAACUAGUAAUUUACAUCCAGAAUGCUACAGGAUCAAAUGACAAGAGAUGUUUAGACACUAGAGUGUCGGUGGUGCGAUGGAUCUUGGUGUGCAGCUCUCCCUUUCGAUUGUACUUGGGGCUAAACAUGAUGAGACGGAGCACACAACCAUCAUGAUCACCAAAAGCAUCCUCGCACUCCAUGUCCUGGCGUACACCGCACUCGACGAGGCAGAAUUGGGUGUCUCCCAUGUAAGUAAGGGUGGCCCCUAAGUGCCUCUCAGAUUCCCUGCAGAAUAACUUGUCCUUGGAUAUCUUCCAGUCUGGCUGCACAGUACUUGUGCCGCUGCGUGAUGCAACCUGGCAGGUGCAGAUGUAGCCAUCAAAAUGAAGCCCAACCCAUGCAUCAAGGUCGCUGUCAAAGUAGCCUUGGCCUUCGAACGGCAGCACCCAUUUCCCAUGCCACCUCCACUUGCAAUGCCUGGCGUCAAAUGAGUAGGUGCCCCUGGCGAGACUUAGAUUAUGCCUGUCGUGCGUAGACAUGAAGAUGGUAUGUCCGUCGGGAUGCAGCGCAUAUGAGGUGAUAUUUUCGUCCUCGUGAAGCGGAGGCGGAGACGGCACGCUCUUCCAGGACCAGUCCAUCCUCGGCUUUGUAGACCGUUGCUCCUCGUUGCAGUUGCAAUUGGGUGCCCGCGACAACACCUCAAAAGCAUGUUGCUGCUCCCCACACAUAGGGAAAGCUGAUAAUCCAUAGAGCCCAUCAGCAGCCGCCACCGAGAUAUCAAAGCAACCGACCAAUGGAGCCGGAAGGCGAGGGCCCAUCCGCCCAUGGUGAGUCCCCCUGUCUCAGUGUUGUACACGAGUAUGGGAGUUUGACCACAACGUGGGGCGGUGACUAUGAAGAUCUCGCUGCCUAGGGCGGUGGGAUAAAGUUCUCGUGCCCCCAACCGGAGGGUAGCAGCAGGCUCAGGGAAGCCAACCUGUUCUUGGGUGGCGUCCUCGUCUUGCAAAGUGUCUGCGUCGAUUUUGUGCAUGCUGUAGCCCUCCUUCCAAUCAUCGAGAAACAGAUAGAGAUGCUUCUUGGGCACAAGACGCGGCCUUUUGCCGGUGCUGCGAUCGCCGCUGUGGCCCUGGAUCUGGGGCUUACACAUGUCUCCGAUCGAUCUUCCGGUUCAGUUUUUUGAUUCUGAUGGUGGAGGAAAACUUAUACUGCAGACAAAGGAAAGGAGACGACAAGCGCGUACUGUAAUCCAGAUAUCUGAUCCGGCGACCAAGUGAGAGGCAUUAGAUCCCUCCCUCCUCUUGCGUCUUUUGCUUAUAUAGAAGGAUGAGAGGCUGCGGCUGACUAAUCGAAUCCGAGAAAGGCAAGGGCAGAGUACCUGCCAGUAGUCCUAGUCGGAGACGAAGCCACCGCACCGCGGGAGACAGGAGAGUCAGAAGGGAACUAGGGUUGGGGGAGGUGAGCCGAAUUGAGGAAAUCGGGAGGGGGAAAAAGGAGAAUGCUUCACCUGGUCGCCGGCGUUGCCGCCGCGCUCGUGCUCCACUCGCCCGCGGUCCUGGAGUUUCGGGGCCGCCCGUGUCGCUGCAAGGCGGUGGAGACGCGCCGCGCCGCCCGCGGUCGCCGAAUUCUUGGCGUGGUCGCCGGCUCGCCGCCCUUGGNNNNNNNNNNNNNNNNNNNNNNNNNNNNNNNNNNNNNNNNNNNNNNNNNNNNNNNNNNNNNNNNNNNNNNNNNNNNNNNNNNNNNNNNNNNNNNNNNNNNNNNNNNNNNNNNNNNNNNNNNNNNNNNNNNNNNNNNNNNNNNNNNNNNNNNNNNNNNNNNNNNNNNNNNNNNNNNNNNNNNNNNNNNNNNNNNNNNNNNNNNNNNNNNNNNNNNNNNNNNNNNNNNNNNNNNNNNNNNNNNNNNNNNNNNNNNNNNNNNNNNNNNNNNNNNNNNNNNNNNNNNNNNNNNNNNNNNNNNNNNNNNNNNNNNNNNNNNNNNNNNNNNNNNNNNNNNNNNNNNNNNNNNNNNNNNNNNNNNNNNNNNNNNNNNNNNNNNNNNNNNNNNNNNNNNNNNNNNNNNNNNNNNNNNNNNNNNNNNNNNNNNNNNNNNNNNNNNNNNNNNNNNNNNNNNNNNNNNNNNNNNNNNNNNNNNNNNNNNNNNNNNNNNNNNNNNNNNNNNNNNNNNNNNNNNNNNNNNNNNNNNNNNNNNNNNNNNNNNNNNNNNNNNNNNNNNNNNNNNNNNNNNNNNNNNNNNNNNNNNNNNNNNNNNNNNNNAAAACAUUUUUUUAAAAACAUUUUUUUAAUUUUUUUUCGAUAAAAUUGUUUAGAAUUUGAAUCAAUACGAUACGUCGGAUCUAUAUUGGAUGGCUGAUAGAGGAGGCUAAGUUAUAGUGAGACUUAGCUUCACCAAGUCACUAAAGUUGCGUCCCACUAUACCAGAUUUUCCUGGACCAAACGAAAGAAGGGGACGGACAGGCUCCACGGUCAGGCUUUUAUAAUUGGGAGAUGCUAGGCGUCCACCGGCGAAUUCAUACUAAACAUCUGCCACUCGAAUGGUCGUUCGAUGUACGCGUCGCAGCCGUCCGAUCUACCUCCUCGCAUGCGGCUUGGCGCCUUCCUCAACCAAUUAAUUCCUGAAGCAAUGGUCCAGUUGCAGAAACAAGCUCGUUGUCCCGGUCCAGAAAGACCUGCGUCCAGCACGGCGCCGCUCGUAACACGUCGUAAUAUUUGCAAUAUGGAUCAAAAGAUGUUGUAAUGUUUGCAACAUGUCGUAAUUUUUGCAACAUGGGUCAGAAGAUGACGUAAUUUUUACAACGGGUUAGAAAAUAAAAAAAGAAGUUUCUGCAACACGAUCGUUGUUUUAAGAAUUGUUUCUGCAAUACGACUGUUGUUUCGGAAAUUGUUUAUGCAACACGGUCGUUGUUUUUGCAACUGAUUUGUUGUUUCAAGAAUUAAUCUGUCAUAAGAAAACUCAAAUCCAGCCGCUCACCCUCUGAAAGUGCGUUAUAUCGACUAGAGGGGGGUGAAUAGGAGAUUUUUUAGAAUUUCAUCACCGAGGAAAUACCUUGUGAGGAAAGUCCUCAGUUAUGAACUGAGUGCAGCGGAAGUAGUACAUGAUCGGGUGUGCAAAAACGUCUACAACCAAGUACUCAAUGAGAUUUAAGAGAUUCGGUUUGCACAAUUCAUAAGUAUGGAGUAAGCGGGUGAAGACUAACUCAAGUGAAGAAUUUGAGGUUGAGGAAAUUCAGAGAAAGUCUUCAGACAAAUUCUUCAAAUAGUACAGAUGAAAGUCUUCAACAUAUAAUUGAGGGAAUAAAAGAGUUGAAGAAAUAGAACCCGUAGCUCGAUGAAGAAAGUUGUUGAUGACACAGUUCCAACUGUUGUGAUAGGUGUACGUCUCGUUCAGAGCGGUGAUACGUCUCAAACGUAUCUAUAAUUUCUGCUUGUUCCAUGAUCUUUUGGGAUACAUUGUUAUAUGUUUUGCUACACUUUUAUAUCAUUUUACACAUAUUUGGACUAACAUACUAACUCAGUGCAUCCAGUGCCAGUUUCUGUCUGGUGUCUUUUUGCAGGUACUUUUACCCCAAUUUUCUGAAGCCCGAAAAAAUCCAGAAUAUAUAUAUAAAAAAUCAGCGAAACAGAAGCUUCUGAAUCACCGAAGGAGGGCCAGGGGCCUCCCAGGUGGCCUGCUGGCGCGGCCAGGCCCUAGGCCACGCCAGGAGGUCGCCUGGGUGGGUCUCACCUCCUCCGGUGCCCUCCUUUGGCCUAUAUUUAGAGUCCAGAGAGGGAACCCUCGCAAACUUUCUAUAAUCGCGAAUUUCUCCAUCGUUCCACCGCCGCAGCGCUUUCGAGAUCGGGAGCGUCAGGAGACCUCUUCCCGGCACCCUGCCGGAGGGAGGAUUGACCUCUGGGAGCUUCUCCACCAUCAUGGACGCUUCCCGGACGUGCCGUGAGUAGUUCCCUCUCGGACCAUGAGUCCAUGACCAGUAGUUAUGUGAUGUCUUCUCUCCAAUGUUGUGCUUCGAUGGUUAGUCCUUGUGAGCUAACCUACAUGAUCAAGGCAUCUAUGUAAUUCUCUUGCUAUUGCUAUGCUAGGUUUUGUUGGGAUCCGAUGGAUUAUGAGAUUAUGUUCAUACUGUUAUGAGUUAUAUAUUUGAUUAUCCUUUUAUAUUAUGUUCCUUAGUGAUUCAUGCAUGUUCUCCGUUGCUUUUUAUUGCUUUGGCCAAGUAGUAGAUCGUAACUCCAAGAGGGAGCGUUAUGCAUGAUUGUGGGUUCAGGCCCCUCGAUGUCUAGCUUGAGUGACAGAAACAUGAGACUAGGGGAUGUGCUUGUUGCCACCAGGGAGAAAACAACGGUGCUUGUGACCACAGUUGCAAGGAUUGUUUACCUUACGCAUAGUUCGUUAAUGCAGUUGUCCGUUGCUUUUAGUUUACACUUUGGGUGGGGCUCGCAACUUAAUACCGGAGAGAUGUUCUGGAUAGAUAUCUCAAGGUGGAUGAUUAGUAAGUAGAGGCUGAUGAAUAAACGGUUUACUUGUCUUGGCGUACUGUCCAUUACUAUUGAACCUCUAACUAUCAAGGAGCAUAAUUAGCAUUGCGGUGCGAUCAUAAUUCUGUCAAUUUCCCAACUAUGAUUUGUUUACCCCAGCAUAGUUGUUUAUCGUCUUUUGGGAGAGAGACAUCACUAGUGAACGUCAUGUGACUCCGGUCCAUAUCACCAUCAUUGUUUACGGCUCCAUCAUUUACCGCUUUCAUUUACUUUUCCAUUGCAAUCACUAUUACUUUCCCACUUGUGUUUUGAUCCUUUGCAAACUACAAGGCCGGAGAGAUUGAAAACCUCUAAGUACGCGUUGGGAGCAAAGUUAUUUGUUGUGUGUCCAGGUCCACGUCUUCUGCUAGCGCCAGGGUGGAAGACACCUACUUGUUGAGCCUAGGAGUCCUCCUGGUUCGAUAAACCUUACAGUCUCCGUGUAAGGAAAAUUUGCUGCUGACUACAUCUCCAUCUUCCAUUUGGGGUAACCAACGAGGGGCGAGAAGUAUAUACAUCAACUCGUCAUCAAGCAAAUUUUUGGCGCCGUUGUCGGGACUCAGGUCUUCAAGAUAGGGGAGUUGCACACUAUCUUUUACCUUUGCUUUUUAGUCUUGUUAGUUUUCUUUUUAGUUUUUGCUUUAGAGACUUAUACCAAAAACCACAAAAAAAUUAGUUACUUUGUUCUUGCUUGUUGCCGCUGCUAUGGGUUCCACUGAGAACACCAAGUUGUGUGACUUCACUAGUCACAACCACAAUGACUUUAUCUGCACUCCUAUUGCUUCUUCCGCCACUGGAGCCACGUCCUAUGAGAUUAAACCUGCUUUACUGGACCUAGUUAUGAAAGAUCAAUUCUCCGGUGCUAGAGAUGAUGCUGCCUUGCACUUGAACAAUUUUGUUGAGCUCUGUGAUAUGCAAAGAUAUAAAGAAGUAGAUGAUGAUAUUGUUAAACUUAAGCUUUUUCCUUUCUCUUUGAGACGAGGAGCUAAAGUGUGGCUUCAAUCUUUGCCUAGGAAUAGCAUAGAUUCUUGAGAUAAGUGCAAAGAUGCUUUUAUUGGGAAGUAUUACCCGCCUGCUAAGAUUAUCCAAUUGAGGAGUAACAGUAUGAAUUUUAGGCAAUUGGAUAAUUAACAUGCUUCUCAAGCUUGGGAACGUAUGAAAUCUCUUGUUAAGAAUUGCCCUACACAUGGUUUGACUACUUGGAUGGUUAUCCAAACUUUUUAUGCAGGAUUGAACUUUACCUCGCGGAAUCUGUUAGAUUCGGCCGCAGGAGGAAUGAUACAUCUCCAACGUAUCUAUAAUUUUUUAUGGUUCCAUGAUAUUAUCUUGUCAAACUUUGGAUGUUUUGUAUGCCUUUUUAAUCUUUUUUGGGACUAACUUAUUAACUCAGCGCCAAGUGCCAGUUCCUGUUUUUUCCGUGUUUUUGACCCUUUUCAAUGGAGGAUUUUAAACGGUGUCCAAACGGAAUAAAACUUCCAAAAAUAUUUUUUCCGGAAAACAAGAUACACGUCAGACUUGAGAACCAAGGCAGGGGCCAGUAGGGGACCCCACAAGCCCCCUAGGCGCGGCCAGGGGGCCGCGCCUAGCAUGCUUGUGGGCCCCGUGUGGCACGUCUGCCCUGCCUCUUCUGCCUAUAAAUCUAGAAAAAUUCCAAAACUGCAGAAGAGAUCAACGAAAAUACUUUUCCGCCGCCACAAGCUUCUGUCUCCGCAAGAUCCCAUCUGGGGCACGUUCUGGGGCCCUCCCGGAGGGGGGAUUCGGAUAUGGAGGGCUUCUUCAUCAACACCAUGACCUCUCCGAUGAUGCAUGAGUAGUUCACCAUAGACCUUCGGGUCCAUAGCUAGUAGCUAGAUGACUUCUUCUCUCUCUUGGAUCUUCAAUACAAAGUUCUCCAUGAUCUUCAUGGAGAUCUAUCCGAUGUAAUCUUAUUUUGCGGUGUGAUUGUCGAGAUCCGAUGAAUUGUGGAUUUAUGAUCAGAUUAUCUAUGAAUCUUAUUUGAGUUUCUUCUGAUCUCUCUUAUGCAUGAUUUCAUAUCCUUGUAACUCUCUUCGAGUUGUGGGUUUUGUUUGGCCAACUUGAUCUAUGAUUCUUGCAAUGGGAGAAGUGCUUGGUUUUGGGUUCAUACCGUGCGGUGACCUCACCCAGUGACAGAAGGGGUAGCGAGGCACGCAUCGUGUUGUUGCCAUCAAGCGUAAAAAGAGGGGGGGGGGUUCAUCAUUGGUUUGAGUUUAUCCCUCUACAUCAUGUCAUCUUGCUUAAGGCGUUACUCUGUUCGUCAUGAACUCAAUACACUAGAUGCAUGCUGGAUAGCGGUCGAUGUGUGGAGUAAUAGUAGUAGAUGCAGAAAGUAUCGGUCUACUUGUCUCGGACGUGAUGCCUAUAUGUAUGAUCAUUGCCUUAGAUAUCAUCAUGACUUUGCGUGGUUCUAUCAAUUGCUCGACAGUAAUUUGUNNNNNNNNNNNNNNNNNNNNNNNNNNNNNNNNNNNNNNNNNNNNNNNNNNNNNNNNNNNNNNNNNNNNNNNNNNNNNNNNNNNNNNNNNNNNNNNNNNNNNNNNNNNNNNNNNNNNNNNNNNNNNNNNNNNNNNNNNNNNNNNNNNNNNNNNNNNNNNNNNNNNNNNNNNNNNNNNNNNNNNNNNNNNNNNNNNNNNNNNNNNNNNNNNNNNNNNNNNNNNNNNNNNNNNNNNNNNNNNNNNNNNNNNNNNNNNNNNNNNNNNNNNNNNNNNNNNNNNNNNNNNNNNNNNNNNNNNNNNNNNNNNNNNNNNNNNNNNNNNNNNNNNNNNNNNNNNNNNNNNNNNNNNNNNNNNNNNUUUAUCCCUCUACAUCAUGUCAUCUUGCUUAAGGCGUUACUCCGUUUGUUAUGAACUUAAUACACUAGAUGCGUGUUGGAUAGCGAUCGAUGUGUGGAGUAAUAGUAGUAGAUGCAGAAAGUAUCGGUCUACUUGUCUCGGACGUGAUGCCUAUAUGUAUNUCGUCAUGAACUCAAUACACUAGAUGCAUGCUGGAUAGCGGUCGAUGUGUGGAGUAAUAGUAGUAGAUGCAGAAAGUAUCGGUCUACUUGUCUCGGACGUGAUGCCUAUAUGUAUGAUCAUUGCCUUAGAUAUCAUCAUGACUUUGCGUGGUUCUAUCAAUUGCUCGACAGUAAUUUGUUCACCCAUCGUAUUAUUUGCUAUUUUGAGAGAAGCCUCUAGUGAACAUUAUGGCCCCCGGGUCUACUUCACACCAUAUUUCCAGCCUUACAAUUUUACUUCGUUGCACUUUCCGCCUUCAGAUCUCACUUUGCAAUCAAUCUUGAAGGGAUUGACAACCCCUUUAUAGCGUUGGGUGCAAGCUCUUUUGUGUUUGCGCAGGUACUUUGGAUUUGAUGCGAUUCUCCUACUGGAUUGAUACCUUGGUUCUCAAACUGAGGGAAAUACUUACUGCUCCUGUGCUGCAUCGCCCUUUCCUCUUCAAGGGAAAAACCAACGCAAGCUCAAGAGACGACAAAAGGAUUUCUAUCGUCGUAGCAAGGAACCUUUAUGUCAACUACACUUGAUGCUGCCACAAAGCUAUUGGAUGAGAUGAUGACAAAUUAUUCUCAAUGGCACACCGAGAGAGCUUCAACAUGAAGGAAGGUAAACUCUCCUGAGGAGAUCUCCUCCCUUAAUGAUAAGGUUGACAUAAUCAUGAUCUUACUUACUAAGCAAGCUCCUAUUGAUCCUCAUGAUGUUCCUUUAAAUUCUUUGGUUGCUCAAGAAAGAGAGCAAGUGUAUGUUAAUUUUAUCUCUAGGAACAACUUUAAUAACAAUGCUUAUACGAGUAAUUUUGGUAGAAAUCCUAGACCGUUCUCAUCCGACAACUACGGGAACAACAACAAUUAUCCUAGCACCAAAAACUCCACUUCUGAAUUAGAGGGCAUGCUUAAAUAUUUUAUCACUUCUCAAAAAGCCUUCAACAAGAGUGUAGAGGAGAAACUAGAAAAAUUAGAUAGUCUCUCUUUGAAGGUGGACAACAUAGCUCAUGAUGUAGAGAUGCUUAAAAUCAGAACUUCCCCACUCGAGGAAAGGAACACCACACCCAUGAAUGCUAUCCAAGUCCAAAUUAAUGAGAACAUAAGAAUGCUAGCCAAACUUAAAGAGUGAUGGGCUAGAGAAAAGGAAGAGGAAGAGAGCAUUAAGAGCCUUCCUACACACACUACCAUUGCUACUAUACAAGUUGUUGAGGAUCUCAAAACUUUUAGCACCCAUCGCACUCCUAGUCCCAGUGGACCUAUUAAUGGUGAUGCUAAUACCUCAACUAUAGGACAAGAAAGUUCUUUGAAUUUAGAGACUACCAAAAGAAUGAGUUUAUAUGACAUUACUACCACUUUAAUUAAUCGUAGUAACCUUGAUUUUGACAAUUGUAGUCUCUCCGAAGUUAUCACCUUUUUGCAAAGAAUGGCUAAAGAUCCCCACACUAGUACACUCAAUAUUGCCUUCACUGAGCGUAUUACCAAUGCUCUUAUCAAAGCUAGGGAGGAGAAGCUCAAGCUAGGGACUUCUAUCCCUAGAAAACUAGAAGAUGGUUGGGAUCCUAUGGUCAAGAUUAAAUUGAAUAAUAUCUCUUGCUUUGCAUUGUGUGAUGUUGGAGCUAGUGCCUCCGUUAUGCCCAAAAAAAUGUAUGAUAUGCUUGAAUGGAAACCUUAUGAUCUAUGUUCUUUUGGUGUUCGUCGUGUUGAUUCUUCCAUAAAGAAACCUUUAGGGGAAAUUGAUGAUGUUCUUAUUAUUGUCAAUGAUAAUUAUGUGCCCGUUGAUUUUCUUAUUAUGGAGAUUGAAUGUGAUCCUUCAUGUCUAAUUAUUUUGGGACGUUCUUUUCUCCGCACCGUUGGUGCUAUCAUGGACAUGAAGGAGGGCAUUAUUAAAUUCCAAUUUCCUAUUAAAAAGGAAAUGGAAUACUUUCCUAGAAAGAAGAUUAAGUUAUCUUAUGAGUCCGUUACACGGACAAGCUAUUCUUUUGGAGUUGAUAACACUUGAUCUUCUUGCAUUAUGCCUAGCUCAAAGGCAUAAAAGAAAACGCUUGUUGGGAGGCAACCUAAUAUGAUUUUACUUUAUGUUUUAGUUGUCUUGAUGUGUGUUACUACUGUAGCAACAUCAUUGUAUCUUUUAUUUUUAAGCUUUGUGCCAAGUUAUAGCCUUCGAUUGCAAGAAAGAUCAAGAAUUGUGACAUGCUGUCUAGAAACAGAUUCUGUCUGCAUGACGGAAAAUUCGCCAAAAAUCACCAGAUCAUCCUUUUGUUCUGAAUUGUUUUGACAACAUGCUCUAUGUAAUUUUAUUUCUGGCAUCUGUUCUGAGUUUUUUUAUUUGAGUUGCAUAAGUGUCCCGAAUAAAUUAUUUACUACCUGUUGUUCUGUUUUUCAUAGAUUCUGCCAUGUUUUGUGUUUUCAUUGUUUUGCCAAUCCUAAGCUUGAUUUUUAUUUGCAAAAAUCUUUUGGCAUUCAUUAUAACCAGUAGCUUUUCAUGAAAAUCUUUAUUUCCAGCAUGUAUUGAAUUUUUUUAUUAAGGAUACUAACCACUCUAAUCAGCUUAUGAUAAAUUUCGUAUGAAGGGAGUUUUCAAGUAUGCGAUGGGAGAGAUGAUGAAAGAAGAUACAGGAGUGUCAAGCGCUCAAGCUUGGGGAUGCCCCCAUACAUACCAAGAAAUAUUCAAAGAAGACUCAAGUGUCUAAGCUUGGGGAUGCCCCCGUGCAUCCCCUUCUCUAUCAACAAUCAUGAGGUCGUCCAUCUUCAUGCUAUAUUUUUAUCACUUCAUAUGAUAUGUGCUAUGCUUGGAGCGUGCCGCUAUUUGUUUUUUAGUUUGUUUUAGUUUUGCUUGUUGUUCAGAACAAGUCGGAACCUAGCCUAUGUUGUUUGGGAGAGACACACGCUCCAUUCCACUCUAGAGCACAACAUUGGUCUUCAUGCUUAUCUUUUUGUGUGUUCUUUAUCUUUUUGUAGCUACUGUCAUGCUUAGCUCUUAGUUUUCAUGCUUAUAUUUUUAAGAGAUUUUAUUUAGGUUGAUUUUGGAACUCUCUUGAGUUAUCAUGCUUAUCUUGUUUAGAGAGUUGGCUUGUUGCACUGAGUUGUGUGUCUUGCAUGAGUAGGUAAUUGAGGUUGCUAUUUAAGUAUACUAGUAACUUGCAAUAGUUUUGAGGUAUUGAUUUGAGUAAUGUUUGAACUACUAGUGCCAAGAGCUUGAUCCUAUUAGUGAUAGGUGUCGUAUUUUGGGAAAUCCGUGUGUUUUUCAAAAACUAAAAAUUAGUUGAGAACUCUAGCUACUAAAUUGAUCGCUAACCUCUAGAGGGGUUGGAAUAUAUGGAGUACCCUCACGUUACCAUGAGUCGAGGAUGCGCAAGGAUAACCAAACCCCCAAACACUCCUCCUCGGGGUACUCGUCUCUUUGUGAAUUUCCUAACUAGAUAGAGUGUUAUCGAUAAUAAGUGUAUGAGUUAUUUGGAUUAAUGUGAGUAUUCGAUUGUUGGCACUUCCACCAUCCAUAUUUUGCUAGCCUCUUCGGUACCGUGCAUUGCUCUUUCUCAUAUUGAGAGUUGGUGCAAACUCCGCUGGUGCAUCCAAACCCAUAACAUGAUACGCUCUGUCAUACAUAAGCCUCAUUAUAUCUUUCCUCAAAACAGCCACCGCACAUACCUAUUAAGGCAUUUUCCUAGCCUUUCCGAGAUACAUUGCAAUGCAACAUCCACCAUCUCAUGACUUGAUCUUCAUGUCAUACAUGCUUUUGCUUGAUCGAGGAGCCGCAUGCUAGUUGGGCCUUGCCCUCAUUACUGCUACAUGACGCGCUAGUAUCAUUGCAUAUCCUGCUACACUGGCAGAGGCAUACAUUUGCAUAGAUCAUGAUAGUUUUCACUUGUCUUUAUGUUGAGUAUUUUUUAUAAAGUGUGAUGAUUUUUCUUUUUAUUCAUGUAAAACAUAGAGUGUUGCCCUUAAGUGAGAAAAAGAUCCCAAAGUGGACAAAACAAAAGAUCCCAAAAAGGACAAAUGGGAGAUAAAAAGAAAGAGCCCAAGAGGCCACAAAAAAAUAAAAAGAGAAAGAGAAAAAAGGGAGCAACACUACUAUUCCUUUGAAAGAUCCACACUCGUACUCCAUUGCGCUCAUGGAUUUGCAGCAAUGGUGGAGAUCCCCGAUGGAUUUGCAGUCAUGGGGGAUGGGGAGGGGGAGCAGCGGGCAGGCUAGGCGGAGGGGUUCAUGGCUAGCGACGGUGGCACGCGAGGUCGUGGAUGGUUUGUGUAGAGGAAGGGCGGCGAAGAGAAAGGGGAUCAGUUUGGGCGAGGAAGACGAUGCAAAGAGUGGACGGGAGAGUAUUGGACAUGGGAGGAUGAGGGGAUGAGAUGGUUUAAACAGAGCAAAAAUUAGCCGCCUGAUUUAAAGUGUUUCCCCUAAAAAAUGACUAUGAAAACGUGAGCCAUUGGGAGUGGAAUUGUUUUUUAUUUUAUAUCUUUUCAGGGGCUUUCCUGUAAUUGGUAUUGGUGAGGCAUCUUAUUCUUCUCCUUGUAAAUAUGACCGAUGUUUUCCCCUUCUAAGAGCAUCUCUAGUAGAACCCUCAAACCCUUAAAUCUAAAACCAGUUUUAUGGGUUGAGAAUUGCCCAUUUUUGACACUUUUAAGGGUUGAAAAACAGGGGCAAAGACUAGAACCCUCAAACCCAACCCUUAUAACGGAAUAUUUCGUUAUAAGGGUUGGGUUUGAGGGUUCUAGUCUUUGCCCCAACCCCAACCCUUAAAACUGUGUUUUGGCAUUGCAUAAUUUUCACUAGAAAAACAUAAUAUACCUUCAAACAAACACGGAAAUAAAGAUCAUUGAUGCAUGGUUUAAUAGUUUUUACAUCACACAAUCAUCAUCUUCCCCCUCUCAUCGGCACCAUCACCAAAAAAUUGCACUUGGCGCCAUUUCCUAGACCACUUCCACGUCCAUCAAGCACCUCCAUUGUCGCCGGUGGUGGAGUCAUCCACACCGCCAUCGCCACCACCACUCAUCUGAGUGUCACCUCGAAGAGUAGAGGAUGCACCACGAAAUAUCCUCUUCUUCUCUGCGAUGUCCUCCUUGUAGUCCUUCCACCAUUGCAAUUCUUCUUGAUCCAUGUCCUUCUUGGACAUCAUCAUGUGCUCCUUCUCUUCCACCAUGAGUUCUUUCCAUACCUUUGCCUCUUUCACCUUGAUCAUCCUCUCCUCCAAGUCGGCCUUGCGCUUUGCUUCUUCACGUUUUGCUUCAACUUGUGCAAGCUUGACCUCUUUCUUCUUCUCGGUGAUAAGAAUCUUCAUCUCCAAUGUCUUGCUUGUCAAUUCCUCUCUUGCCUUCAUCAUUUGCUCCAUCUUCUCCCUUAGGCUUGAUGCCUCUCCUUCCAUCUUCACCCUUUGCUUGCCCUUCUUGGUUCCCUCAGGCUUGCCCAAGUUCCUCUCCUUCUCCUCAUCUUCACUAUCAUCCAUCCUAAGCAUUGCCGACUUCUUGGGUGCGGUCUCUUGAUCCCUCAACUUCCACUUGGCAAAGGUUUGAAGAAUUGCCCAAGCAUGCUUAAAUGGGAAUGGCUUGCCCUUGGAAGCGGCCAUAUCCUUGUACCUCAUGGCGAAAUUGUCUCCUAUCAACCACACAUAAUCACAUAAGAACCCACCAAUAGCAUAGUACACACACAUAAUCAAAAUAGUGAAGAGAUAUGUACUCACAUAGUCACUCUCCACGGUUCCACUAGGUUGUGCAUCCCUCACUUGGUCCAUGGCUGCACUCCAACGAGCACAAGCGGGCUUCAUCAACUCCCACCGGCCUUGAAGUGACCGGUAACUGCGAGAGAUGAACCCACUAUUCUUCGGCUUGAUCCUACAAUAGUUGUCCUCGAUCCUGUGCCAAUACCUUUUACCGGUUUGAUCGGUGCAGGUGGUUGCAUCCAUCCCCACAUAUGCCCAAGCACGAACCAAGAGGAUAUCUUCCGCUUUGGUGUAGUUUGUCGACCGCACGUGUGGGCGGGAAGCGGCGGUGAAUGCCACCUACCCUAUCUCGGCCACCUCCUCCUCGUCAUCCCCUUCAUCCUCCUCAUCUUCCUCAACCUCCUCACGAAAGGGUUCUAGAGGCGGAGCCUCGAGGUCCACCUCCGCGUCUUGAAGGAGGUCCAUGAACGAGGAUGGGGUUGCCAUUUCCUUGAACACCGGGUGCGUGGCGGGAGGAGGUUCGGCGACGGCGGUGGCCGGGGCCGCGAGCUUCUUCCGUGCCGCGACCUUCUUCCGCUUCGGGGACGCAUCGACGACCUUGGAGGAAGCCCCUCGCGGCCCACGGGAGGAGACCUUCUGUAACGACCAAGAUGCGGUUCUUUCCGACCUGGGGGUCGAGGCCCCCGAAUAGGAAAGAAGCGUAUCUAAGCGUUUCGCAAGCAAGUAACAUAGCACAAAUAAUAAUAAAAGUAGAAAAUUCGGGAUUCAACUGUCUUCUCAUUAAUAACUCAGAGUACAUCACAGAUACAAUCAAGGUAGUUCUGCUACGGACUACAAAACAUGGAAAUGCUAUGCUACCCUGCCUGCAGGCCCACGAUCACGACCACGCCUCAGUCCUCUGGAUAGUUCACGUAGAGGCGGUGUGUCUCCUCGUCGUACCGCAACGCCAGCUGGGUGCCGUCGGGAUCAUCUGUCUCUGGGGUACCUGUACCUGUUGGGAGUUCGGAGGAAUCCGUGAGCCACGGGGACUCAGCAAUCUAAGACCUUGGUGCCAGAACUAGUCAUGUUAUUAGGUAGGGUAAGGGUGAAGUGUAUAAGGUUGCACCAUCCUAAGCUUGAUUUAGUGGCUAACUUACGUAAAGCAAUUAUGAAGGUGGUCUACACUAGCGGUCGUGAUUACUUGAUCACUAAGUGAUCCUGAACACCUACCUACGGCAUUCAUAACCCCACCGUGUUCCCGAUCGAAGAGAGAUCUUCGAGGGGGACAGUCACGGUUACGCACACAGUUGGCAAUUUUACUAGCUUAUGUUUAAGUUCUCUAAUACCGGAUGUUAACAAAAUAUUCCAAGUUGCCACAUAACCGCGGGCAUGGCUUUCCGAAAGAUUAAACCCUGCAGGGGUGCUCCAACUAGUCCAUCACAAACGUACACAGGCCGCAAAGGCAUCCUCUAUCACGAAUCUCGUGAUCUCGUAGGAUUCCUUAGAGGAAAAACCUCAACUCUGGGGAAAACCAAAGCUUCACUGGGAUUCCUAUACGCAAGAUAUACCGCUAAGGUAAGGCAAGGCUAGUAGGACCUCCCGACGUGUCGACGACCCCGAUAAGAGCCGCGUAUCUCAGUCUCAGGACACGACGGAUGGAAAAGCCUACAGGAGGCAAACCUCAAGUUUCCCUGUGGUGGCCCCCACAGUUUGUCCAUGUUAGACCAACACUCAUGCGGAGCACUGGCCCGGGUUGUUGAUUAAAAUCCUCGGGGUAGCUAUUCCCUAUGCAGUUUAUUAUUAAGUGAUUAGAAAAUUAACACCAAUGUUGGGUCCUGCCGGACAAGCCUUAGCACUAUGCGAUUUAUCGAGGGGGUCCCCAUAACAACCCCGAACGUGUUAGGAGCGAUCAUUAUGGAAUCAAACACCGGUAACUGGUAACUAAGGCAGCAAUAACGGAACAAAGCACCCGACAAAAGGCUAGGUCUCCCGUCAUUUACCAAGUAUAUAGGUGCAUUAAAUAAAUAACAGAAUUUAAGAUAAUGAUAUCAAGCUCAUGUUAUCACAUGAGUCAAAGCACCUGCAUCUAGCAACGCUAUCAUUAGUAGCUGAGCAAAGCCUACUUAGCCAUACAAGUUUAGCUAGGAAGGGAUCAGUGUUUGGGUUCAUGGCAUAUCAAGAGGCAAUAUAAUUCAGUGGUAGGCAGCAAGCAAUAUGACAUGGAAAUGCAAACUAGCAUAGCAAGUCUAGAGAUGGAAUCAAGGUCAUAUCAUCUUGCCUGUGAUAUCCUCAGCUUGGAAUGGUUCUGGUUCGUCCUGCACGUACUCUCCUGACUCCACGUAUUCGUUCUCCGAGCCCGGUGCUACCCAACAUAAGAAUAACAACCAAUGAAGAGCAGCACCACAAUAUGCAACAAGCACAUGAUGCAUGAGAUGAAAAAUGAGCAUGCAUCACUAUUUCUAUCACUAGCACUAGCAAAAGGAACUACUAUAAGUUUCUGGACAGAACUGUACACUAAGCUAUUUUGACAUGCAUGAGAAUGGCAUGAACAAAUGCGUCUCGUGAAAACGAUGCAAAACCAUAUAAAGAACAUUACAAUCGGAGCUACGGAUCAACGGGAAUCAAUGAAACAAGAUAUGAAGCCCUACGUGCAAGAAUCAACACCACACCCACAAUUGGCACAAAUCUGGUGUUCCCAGGUUGCCAAGACAUAUAACAACCCAACAUGAAUGGAUUGUAGCAAGGAAUAACACCACAACAUCAACUAAUCACCCACAAUUAUAAAAAUGACUAUACUACACAAUCUGCCAUAAUCUGCAUCUUAGCUCUUUGUGAGCUACAUGAAACAUAGCUACAGCCCUCAAAAUAUGACAAAUAAUAUAUGUGUCUGUAGCCCACCAAGAACACUACAAGCACCAGCAAUAAUCACAGCAAAAGGAAUUAAACUCUAGAAGAUACAAGGGCACAAACUUUCCCAAAACCAUCAGAUCUCAGGGACUUGGUGAAAAUUCCUGCACCUGACUUUCUGUUUUUGUUCUGAAGCUUUUUGACAGCAACCAAAACAUAAUAUACAGGGCUCCAAAUGAGAUGAAAUUUGACAGGGAGCUUCACAAACAUAUCAGGUCCAAAUUCUUAGCACUGAACUAAGGCUAGUUCACAACACAAUGACCAACACAACCUCAUCUAUAGGAGAAGAAAGUAUUUCCAGAUUCUCAGACUUAGUGAAAUUCCAGAUUUCACUAAGCUGGAAUUUUCAGCCACAUACCCACUUUGUCUAGGAAUAGUUUGCACAAAAAUAACACCAAGUGAUAAAUGACACCACUAUGGUGUAGAGCAAAACCCCUACUACUAUCACACAAAAGCUCAUGCCCUUGGGCUCCACCUAUUCCAUGGAAACAAAGAGCAACCUUGCAACAAAUCUGAAUAUGUCAACUCCAUAAAGUAUCCCAAUGGCAAAACUAACUUCACCACUGGACUCCUUGGGAGAUUCUACCCCAAAAUAAUAUAUAAUAUGUGGGAACUUACUUGGAACAAGUGACCACAAAUUAAGGAACAGGAAACUACUCCAAAUCAUGCCUAGUGAAUAGUGCAUCAUUUCAUGUAGUUUCACUAUAUCAACUACUACAUGGUUGAGCUCAUGUGCACAAUGACAAAGUGACAUGGGGGUUUGAACCCCAUGUUUGUGUCAUGCACAUCAACUUCACAACCACUUCUACCAAGCUAUCCACACAUACAAAUCACCAUGCCCUCUCACAUAUGGACAUGUGAAGGUGCAUAGUUUUGCUUGCAAAGGUGGGGUGUCCCACACACACACACAUCCACUCCACUACACACAUCAAAACAUGUUCUUGGACAACACUAAAUAUUGCAUCUAUUUAGAUCACUCAAGUAGGGAGCUCAUCCACCACAAACACAUGCUCACAAACUUAGAUGUACAUGAACUAUGUUCAUGUGGGGGGUGUUCCUCACACCACAUGCACCACAACAUAUAUAUGCACUCAAAACCUGUCACACUACACCAUAUAAGCAUGACACUAGGGCAUCUACACACUCACUUAGGCUAGCUUCACCACACACUCACAUUCAUACAACCACGCAUACACACAUAUGAGCACAUACACCACACUCACAUAUCUUACCUACACCACUACAACUUCUGGACAGGAAAAGAAAAAUAAGAUGCACUCCUUUAUGCCUAUUAUUUAGGCACAAGGUGUAACAACAAAUAGCAAAGGAAAAAUAAAAGAAAGAAAGGGAAAAAAAUUAAAAGGGCAGGCCUGGGAUUCGAACCCAGGGCCUCCUGAUUGCUGGUCUGUGGUGCAACCACUCUGCUACUGUCAUGGUUUUGACAGAGAGAGGGGCACAUAGCAAGUUGACCUUCUUGCUGCUGCUACUACUAAGAAACAGGGAAAUAAAACCCAAAAAGGGGCAGUGCACCACCGGGGACUCGAACCUUGCACCUCUCGUUGACCAACAGGAGUCACUACCACUGCGCUACUGCAUCGACAUCUGAUAGAGGAAGGACCUGAAACAAGAAAUACCAACACUAUCGCUGUCCCUGCUCCACAACUGCGCGCCGGCAACACAGAAGACGCCGUGGCGAGCAACUGCUGCCGCUGCACCGCUCGAGGGCGACCUGCCGAACUGGGAUGGCGCUACGAGGGGAGGAGGAACCCUACUACCACUACCAACUACAAACCGUGCCUGCAGAGAACAACACGCACACAAGCUGAAGAAGCUACUGCUUUGCUUCGACGGAGGUGCACGGCGACAGGGAGUUCGCCGGCGUCCUGUUGCUGCAGGUCCUACCGGAGGAACCGAAGCAACCCGAGGAGAAGGAUCCUCUGCUACUAUCUACGCACAGCCGCGUGGCUACCUCGUCUACAUCGACACGAACGGCGGAAGUCUACUCUGCCUGCUCCAACGAUCAGUGCAACACGUACACACAGAUCCUGCUGCCGAGCAACUGCCAGAGAAGCACGGCGCAGCCAACUGCGAACCUAAGGCGGAGCCGAGGGGAGAAGGAAGGGGAGGUUGCUCCUCACCUUGGGGAAGGAAGGAGGUGAGCCGACCGGAGAAGAGGCCCGGCGAGGAAGAAGAACGACCUGCUGCCGAUCUGAAGAAGAGGAGGCAGACCACCGGGUUCAUGGCGGAGACGAGCUCGCCCCCGUCGGUGUGGCCGCUCCCCGACGCGACCAACGACGGUAAUGGAACGCGGGGUCGAGCCCCGAGCUCCUGGACAUGGCGGCUGACGAUGCUCGACGGAGACGGCGGGGUAGAUGCGGCGGGGUUGAUCUCUCUCUCUGCUACUCGAACAGAGACUUACCAGAGGGGGAGGAAGAAGAAGAGAGAAGGUGGUGGCGCACUGGAGGAAGGAGAGGGAAACCUAGGGAAGGAGGAGGGUUCCCUGCGUCUUAUAUUACCUCGGGGAGGGCGCUUGACCACUGGAUCGCGCUAUGGAGGAACGAAAGGAGGAGAUGCAGUCGUACAGAGAUGACGUUGGGAGCGGGAAGAGAGGGACGCGGGUGUGGGCUCUAUGCGCGUGAGAGGGAGAAGAUGGGCCGACCAAGGAGGGAGAGAGCCCACCUGUGGCGGCAGAUAAGGAAAAAAAUAACUACCUUAGAUAUCCUAUUUACAGAAAAACAAAUAGAGAAGAAGAAAUGCACAAGGAAAUAUACAAGUGAUAAAAAUAUCACAAGCACAUUCCUGGAGAUAGAAAAAUAAGACCUAUUUUAAUAAAACAGAAAAGGGAUUUUAGUGGCAAGCAAAUAUUUACAAAAACAAUAUUUAUACCACUGUUUUGUGAAUAUAUAGCCCCUCUCAAACAAAGUUUUAAACAACAAAUACCUAUCUCCACAAUCACCACAAAAUAUACUAAAUCAUGGACAUUUUUAAAACAGGGAAGGAUCAAGUAAAUAUUGGGCUUGAGAUGAAAAGAGGGAGAGGGUAUGAAGCCUAUGCAAACCACAUAGUUCCUACUAGCAAUUGCACCACUCCAUCACUCACAUGCACUAACAACCAUGACAUAUUCAUCACACCACAAACACACAUGGAUUCACAAAGGCACAAACACAAGACAUAGGAUGGAUGGGAUGCAUGCAUGCAAAGGGAAAUCAAAACAAGGUGAAACACAUGAAAUCAUGGCAGAAAUGAUAACAUCAAAUCUCUGACAAGGUGGACCCACAUGCAAUAGGUUUCAAAUAUGGCAAGGUUUAUAUCUGGGGCACUACAAAAUCUCCCACACUACAAAGAAGAUCUCUCCCUCGAGAUCUAAGACUGAAAGAACUCGGGAAAUUCGGAACGGAGGUGAUCCUCGCGUUCCCACGUAGCUUCUUUAUCGGAAUGGUGAGACCACUGCACUUUGAGAAAUUUGACAGUCUUGUUACGGGUCUUGCGCUCAGUCGCCUCGAGAACCGCAACUGGAUGCUCACGAUAAGAAAGGUCAGGCUGAAGGUCGAUAUCUUGAAGAUGCACAGUGCGCUCGGGGGUCUUGAAGCACCUCCGAGGCUGAGAAACAUGGAACACAUCAUGGACAUUUGCAAAGGUUGCCGGAAGCUCGAGCUGGUACGCAAGGUCUCCCCUCUUGCCAACCACUCUGAGCGGACCAACGAAACGAGGCGCAAGCUUGCCUUUGAUGCCAAAGCGUUGCAUACCCUUCAUAGGCGACACCUUGAGAUGGACAAAGUCAUCAAGCUCAUAAGACAUGUCGCGGUGCUUGCUAUCGUAAUAGCUCUUCUGACGGGACUGAGCUGCUCUCAGGUUGUCGCGAAUGAUCCGACACAUCUCCUCAGCUUCUUCUAUCAUAUCAUUCCCAAGGAUCUGACGCUCGCCUGUCUCGGACCAGUUGAGCGGAGUACGACACUUCCUGCCAUAGGGGAUUUCAAACGGAGCCUUGCCAGAACUAGCUUGAUAACUAUUGUUAUACGAGAACUCCACAAAAGGCAGAUAAUCUUCCCACUUCAUGCCAAAAGAGAUAACACAGGCUCUCAGCAUAUCCUCAAGAACUUGAUUCACUCUCUCCACUUGACCACUGGUCUGAGGAUGGAACGCUGUGCUGAAGCGGAUCUUUGUGCCCAUAGUAGACUGAAAGGAGUCCCAGAACUUGGAAGUAAAGAUACUUCCGCGAUCUCAAGAGAUCAUCAUAGGCACGCCGUGCAAAGAGACAAUCCUGGAGGUGUACAACUCUGCCAGCUGAGCUGCUGAAAUGGACUCCUUGACUGGAAGGAAAUGAGCCACUUUAUUCAACUUGUCGAUGACGACGAAGAUAGCAUCAUUGCCCUUCUUGGACUUCGGAAACCCGGUGACGAAAUCCAUCUCAAUGUGAUCAAACUUCCACUUGGGAAUCAGCAAAGGCUGCAAGAGACCUGCUGGGCGUUGAUGUUCUGCUUUCACCCUUCGACAUACAUCACACUCGUUUACGAACUGUGCAAUUUCACGUUUCAUACGAGUCCACCAGAAAGUCUGCUUCAAGUCAUGGUACAUUUUGGAGCUUCCAGGAUGAAUAAAGAGCAGAGAGUUAUGAGCUUCUUGCAUGAUCACCUUCCUGAGAUCACCUUUCGGGACAACAAGGCGAUCCUCGAAAAACAACGUGUCCCUGGCAUCAACAGUGAAGCACUUAUACUUGGGGAGACUCUUUCCCAUGCCAAUCUCAAACACUUUUUCAAGCAGGGGGAAACGGAUCUGGUUCGGAAGCCGGAGAUGGAAGAGAGGGUGUCGUGUCGGAUCUUCAAUCGGGGCAAACAACGGAUGCUCGGGAUAAAUCUGGACUUCGAUUGGUUUUUGAUGGAUAUGAGCUUUCCCUGAAUAAGGAUCAAAAUAUGCUUCCUAAAACAGCAUGCGCAAUGGUGGGCCGAGUACAUAGCAUAGCGUAUAUCAAGUAUCCAACGCCUUCCGAAUAAGGAAUGGAAGCCGACUUAAUAAAACUACAUCUUGCUGAUGUAGGUGUAGACAGGUAUUCUAAAAGGAGUGACAAUAUUGGGUGUAAGGAUUCUUCAAUGCAAACAUUGACCACUCGUAUGGUAGCCUCACAACCAUCUACAAGGGAGACAUCCACCUCAACCUGAAGUUCACCCACGUGGAGCCUUUACUAGUCGGAGUGGUAAGACUACAACUGAUCCUCUUCCCCAAUGCCAGCGUUGUAUGUACCACCUGCCUUCUACCCUAGCCGGCCCAAUACCUUCUCCACAGGGACCUCAACAGUCCACUACUUCUGCUGCACAGCCUAGUUCUUCUACACCAGCAGCUAUUUCUCCUAAUGAUCCAUCAUCAAUCUGCUCCACCUGUCAACCCGAAGCUGCCAUUUCCAGAACGGUUUGUGAAGUCAACUGAAGACAAGCAGAUUGCCAAGUUUCUGGAUAUGAUGACAGAUAUGCAGAUUACCACCCCCAUCCUUGAUGGUGUCUUACAGGUGCCGAUGUAGACACAGUUCUUUAAGGACCAGCUCGCAAAGAAGCGAAACAUUAACGAGCUAGAACUGGUUACUCUUACUAAGGAAUGUAGUGCACUCGUUCAAAUAAGCUACCUCUCAACUUAGAUGAGCCUGCCAGUUUCAGUAUUCCAUGCUUGAUAGGAAGUCAAACUUUCCAUGCUUUAUGUGGUCUUGGGUCUACUGUGAUUCCCUUCACUGUCUACGAGCCACUACCAUUGGGUAAUGUACGGCCGACUAGCAUCACUCUCCACCUUGCUGAUCAGGAUCCGGCAGACAUUUUGGGUGAUAUCCCUGCGAUAGUUGGUAACUUCGCAUUUCCAGUUGAUUUUGUUGUCUUGGAGAUGUAGGAUAAGAGCUUUCCUAUUAUUUUAUUUUGGGACACCUUUUCUAGCUACUGCAGGGGUUGUCAUCGAUGUGAAAGAUGCUAAGCUCACGCUUCAAUUUGGUGAGGAGAAAGUCUCAUUUGACAUGACAAUUGGAACUCCUAUUGAAAUAGCUUUUUAUGGUGAAAUAGCAAUUCAAGUAGGAUUGGUAAAAAUUCAUAAAUAGCGUAAUACCUUUUUCCUUCCUGAACCUUUUCGUUUUAGUAAGUUCAUGAAAUAUUUCAUACUAUUGAUUGAUAGUUUUUUAAAGGGAUUUUACCAAGAACUUCCUGCGAAAGGGAGAGUGAGCUGGAAAUAGGAUUUCUGAUCUGGGAAUGUUGGUUUCUGACGCAAAGGAAACUUUAGGUUAAGAAAUCAAACCCAAGCAGGUACAAACAUUUCCCAUAGUGGUUGUGGUUGCUAAUGGUCAGAACAUAAUCAGUAAAGCUGUGUAUCGGAGGGGGUACCCGGAAGGUGCAAGGAGUGGAAUUUGAAGCUAAACUGCAAAAUUGCCACUGGUUGCCUAUGACAUGGUGCUAGGAAUGGAUUGGUUGAAUACUCCGCUGGGGAACACGAAGGUGAAUUGGAAAGAGAAAUACAUACAUGUCUUUAGGGAAGGUUCAUUGGUAGAAAUCAAAGGGGUAGCAAGCUCAGUGGCAGGAGAGCAGCAUGGCUUGAUUCAGUUUCUUCUUUCUAUUGAUUUUCAAAUAAUAUGAACUCUAUCUGAAGUAUUGAUACUUUUUAGUAUGCUUUCAUUUUGCUGGGAGGGGAACAGACGGGGGUCAGAGGGGAUUUUCUCAAGCUUGUGACCUGAUCUUGACCCGAAACUACUGCUCUUUCCUUUCCCAUCUAUAAACCAUAGUCAGCACUUAGCUAUUUUAAUGAAACCACACAAAUUGGUUAGUAUUUUCUGUUUUGACCAGGGAGCCAACCCAAUCCAUUCGCCGCAGAAAAAGAGAGGCAAAAUAGGGCAAAUAAACUGAAGCAGAUGAACGGACGACCAAUCGACUACAAGAAGAAAUGAGAACUGUUUUUCUAUUUGGAACUCCAAAGUCAAAGAAUGGUUUUUCACUUCCGCCUCUUUGAAUCAAAAGGGUCUUCUUCAACACAAGCAAUAGCCUCAAUAGCAAGCUUUCUUCCCACCCUCUCUCUAAAUGCAACAGAGUCCUACCAUGGUAAGGUCAAGCGCCCUACUUGCUUGUUGACACGUGAGAGGAAAUAGGAGUAAUAAGUGCCAGGAUUUACCACUUUCGAAGAAGUACUGAUCUCAAAGAACUGUCCGGCCCACUUUCAGGUUAUGAAGGUCGUUGAGAACAAAAGAUGUAGUUUCUUUCCUCUCGAGAGGAGGCGCGGCAGAGAUAGACAGAUCAUUACAUCAAACUAGCAAUCAAGAUAUAUAACUCACCUUUCUACUACGAGAAUAGUAUAGUGGAUCAAGAGCCGCGCCGCCAACCUCAAACUCUUCAUUCCAGGCCAAUAGUUUCGCUAUAGUGACUACGUACCUUUAACACAUUCUUAUUGAGGCUAAGCUUCAGGCCAACUACGAAUUGAGAUUCGAGAGCGGGGUGAACUUCAUCACUUCGAGGGAAGCUUUCUUCUCCGGGACAACUCCAGAAAGGAAAGAUAGACUGCAGGCUUGAAAUAUAGACAGAGUUUGCUACUAAAGGCUCGGCUGAAAAGGCUAACUAUCUUUUGAUUUCGCGUUCUUGAGUAUGGAGAAGAAGAAAAACGAGUCUAGCCCGGGGACUUUCAGUAACUUGAUGGAAGAAGCUUUCAAAAAGAGGCUCAAAGGCUUUUUACGUCAGUCAUCUCUUCAAACCUUCCUGCAACUUCUUACUUCCCUUUUGAAUUGACCUUCAAAGCUGGCUUUACCUAUUUAUCUUGACCAGAAAGGAAUUGAUAAAGGGGAUGUUAUAUCCAGACCAUAGACAACGUUUCAACUUUCACUUAGGAAGGGGGAAAGCUCUACUUAGCCUUACGUAGCCUGUCUUAGCCCACCGGCUUACCGAGCUCUACGUCACUUUGAUUUCAAUGUUAGGCUAGGAUUCUUCUUUCCCGAAGGACCUCUCACUCUCUGGAAUGUCUGAUUAACCGCUGCUUAGUGGUAUCGAAUGAUACAAAGUUGUUCAAGGAGCUAAACGCGAACACAAGAAAUUGCGUACCUUAGAUGCCAUAAGUUUUCCUUACCGAGGGAAAAAUCAUUGGGACUACUUUACCCACCCUUAUUACCAACCUCAUCAUAAAGAGGACCCAUAAGGACAAUAUGCGGAUCUUCUCCUUGCCUUCCUUACAGCUACGAGAGACGAAAGGUGCUUCUGGAAGCUGAGAGAAAGACACCAUGAUCUACUGCCACGGUAUGAUACCAAUGAACAUACUUGAGGCACUGUUGUUCCCUUUUACUCACAAUGGAAAGAAAAGAGAUGCAGAAAGAUUUUUCUAUAAAAAAAAGAAUAUAUAAUGAUUAUAGCCGUGUAUGUAGUAGGAAGAGGAAAGAAAGAAUUUUUUCAACUAUGUUGUCAACUAUUUAUGCUCGUUGCUAGAGUGAAAUAAGUUUCUUCAUGCGCUUACGAAUAAGCAAAAAGAAUAAAUUCUUACUCAAGUAGUUUGGUUUGUAGUUUAGUUUUUUUAUUGACUCUAGUAGUGUAGUUAGCAUGCCUUCCGUUCCUUGCUUGCUUAUGCACUUUUUAAUUAAAGACGACCUUUAAAUUCAUUAUUGACUGGAUAAAGUAGUAUUAGUUAAUAUACGCUGAUUCAGACAAAUCAAAAAUAAGAGAUAGUCUUUUUCGAUACUGUAUGCUGGGGCAGACCUGUAGGUGAGCACAAGCACACCCAGCCUUCCACCUCUUUAUACUUAUGUUUAGCAGUGUACCUGGUCUUACUUCUUUUUCAGUUUACGCUUGUGUCCCAAGCUUGCAAGUUCGAAGAAGAGUAUUGUAUUGACCUAAAUCAAGUUGUUUGCCUACCCGCCGUUAUGUCUUAGCUAGGAAUGAGCUGUGAACAAAAUCAAAAUAGUUGUUACUUGAGUCGAUAAUGACUUUGUGUCGGUUUGCUAUUUUCUAUAAAUUGGACUGGUACCAUGUAUUGUAACAUAAGCUUUUGUAUAAGAGCUGAGAUGUGGUUAAGAUUACACUUGAUCCUCUCUCUGUUUUGUUGCUUCCUUCCAUUAUCUCCAACAACUGGUAUCAACACUAGGAACCUUCACGGUCAGGGUUUAUUUUAUUAGACCACUAUGAACACUUGUAAUUGGUUCUUUCUACUUCAGGCAUGGUUCUCUCUAGUUAGUGGAAGAGUGUACAACAUAGGGAUUGGUAUCAGUCACACAUUUAGGAAAGAAAGUGAAAGGGGAGGGCAAGAGCGGUUCGAAGGUCAAUGAAAUGAUAAAAAACCACCAGGUCGAGUUCGCUUCUCCCUUCCUUUUGGUGUUUAGGAUGUGAAGUUGAUAUAAGAAGAGAGGAAAGGGGAGCUGCGCUAAAUGGAUAAUUUCAUCCUGGUGAUGGGCUAUUCCAAUGGGCAUGCAUCUGAGAUAUGGGCUUUGAGCGUAGGAACGCCCACCUUUACAAGAGCUCAGUUCUAAGAUUGUUUGCGUGCAGGCACCACUACUAUUCUGUCUUUUCUUGUUAUGCAUCCGGUCCUAUAAAUCUUUUUUUUCUGACCGGAGGAAGAGAAAUAAAAACGUCACUUCGCUCGCCUUGGGGGACCUAAUUAGGAGCUGAUUGAUUUCUUUAAUAGAUAUGAAGAUGCCUUGAAUGAACCCAAGCAAGCCGAAAUAGAAUACUAUAAGUAUGAAGUGGACAUCUAUGGUUUAAUUGGAAACAUCUCUUUUUUAUUUAGAUUUUGCCAGUGCCUCCCUUUGUGGCAGAGCGAGCGCCUUGACUAAGAUAGAUUGACUCUUUCAUUAUUUUAUUUUAUUUUAUUCUGGUUCCAAUCGUUUGAGGAAAACCCCCUUUGGCAUCAAUGAAACUCUGUUAUAUAGGAGUUCAAAAACCUCAUUUCAUUUGAGAGAUAGUGGAAUUUCUUCUUUCAACACGUACAUCGACGAGGGUGUCGAUGACUUGAGUGAGGAAUGGUCAUGUGCUAGAGGCCGUACCUUUGGAGUAAGACCUCAACAAGGGGGUGUGCAGUUUAAAUGUAAAUGACGAGCAUGGAGAGGCCAAGGUCAUUUGUAAUUAGGUGUGGCUGAUGCAAGAAGACUGGCGAGCUAUCCAUGGUGAGAAAAGUUGUGAUGCUACUGCAGGGGGCAUCCUGGUGUAGUUGAGGGCGCAGAACUUCUGUGCGGGUACAACUGGCACUUAAAAGACCUUUCGUGUAGAUGAGUUCUCUUGAGUGAGACUAAUCGAGUUACGAAGAAACCUUUGCGAUGGUGCUGUGCAGUUGGGUUCUCUAUGGAGGAACUUCGUUGUGGGGACCAAGGGGUCUUCUUAAGAAGAGUUGCUUUGAUGAAAAGAGUGUAGCCAUGAUGGCAAGUCAAGGUGGGGCCCUGUGAAGGCAAGCGUUCUGUAUGUUGGCGUGAUGACGAGAGAAAGGAAAUGCCCUGGAACAAUAGCUGUCCGUAGCACACCCUGCAAUGACUUCGACCAGCAGACCAGCCUAUCCAAUACCCUACGCCAUGACCUUAGAAGUUCGUACCCCAUGAUAUUCAAUGACACCCGUAGACAUUUGAUCAUUCAUACCUCACAGUACGCUUUCUUUCUUUUUUUGGACUUUGAAUUCCAAGUGAAGGAAGCUCAGUGAAAGAUAGACUGGGAUUUGACAGCAAGAAGAAAGCAACCAUAGUACGUGGCACACACCGCUGAUGAAUGAGAUUGACGUCCCAAACCAACAUAGGUUCAAGACUAAGUGCAGAACCAAGAAUGCCGUGGAUAGAAAAGUGACUGCUUCCUCAAGCUUCAUGAAGGAAGGGUCCAAGGACCUAAGCGACAACCUCUACGAAAAAGAAAAACCUAUAUAUAGAGAGUGGUAUGUGUUCGCUGACACUAAAUAGACUUGGCUCGGGGCAGAACUGAGUGGCUAGGCUAAGUUCCCUAGUCUUCUAUUGUCCUACCCACCCCUACGACAUGGAGGCGCUUACCCUUCUCCAACAAGCGUUCCACCACGCUGCGAUUGAUUACCGCUUUCCGUCUCGAUCCAUUCCAGACCAAGCCCCUUCUCUGAUCGGGGGAAGGUCAUUAUAAAACAUCAGAUCUCCCAUUGAUGUUGAUCAAAAAUAAGUUUAUCCACCUAGAAUAUAUUCUAGGUACCGAAAGAUUGGAUGUCAUUUCUCAAAACCAGGCGGGACGAGCAGCCCUAUACCACGUGUAGCCACACUCUAGUGUCCUUUUCUACUUGGUUGGACAUAUCACUUCAGAAAAUCGUAUAAAGAUCAAGCAAGAAAACGGAUGCGCUAACGCGCGCAACGGCUUUCGCGCUAGUUGCUCAAAAAAUCGUAUAAAAAUUCAAGCAAGAAAAAGGUUCUGGCAGGCUGCGUGGGACUGUAAAUCCUCUUUCGCUGGCUGGGCCCUUUGGACUCGAAAUCCAAACGGAGUGAGUGGUUCGAUUCCACUCUCAGAACGAGACUGAACGAAAGAAAAUGCAAGUGAAACGAGACGAGAAUCAAAUUGUAGGCUUCUUUCCUAAAAGCGGUGGUUCUCGCCUCCCCGUGCCCAAAGCGGGGUGGGCGACAGCGCUGCGGUUCUUUUCUUUAUCGAUCGGUCGUGACGCCUUUUCCUUUUGUAUGAGAAAGCGCUACAAAACAUCCUUCUCGCGGGUUAUCUUCUACUCAAGCAAGCUCUCUCCUAUUCUUCAUCCACCAACUAGCAGGAACGUAGGAGCACAAGAGGGUCAUCAUCUUCUGAAACGAUUGGCUUUCGAUCUGCUUUCCAAGAGGUGGUUUCUGACAUGACCAGAAAGAGUGGAAUUCUUGUUAGGAUUGGCAUGUCAAGUUGCUUUCUCGGACCCUAACAUAAACCACCUUAUCCUCACUAAGAUUGUUCUUUUGGACUGAGCAGAAGCAUGACCUCUAUAUGAUGUUUUCUCUAUCCCUUCUAAUCUCUCAAUGGCAUUUCCAUCUCUGGAUUCAAUCAAUCAAGUAAGUCCAGAUGACACUUGUCUUUAUUUAGUGUUUCCCCGGCUAUUCAGCCAUUACUUGCAUCUCAGGUUCUUUGUACCCUUUUUUAGUGCCAUGCACACUGAGGUUUCUGGCAUGACCGAAUCUUUUGAGAAUAUCGCUUAUUACGUUAAUUUCUUCAUCUUGAUGUACUCAAUCCAUUCAAAUUCCAUAAUUCCAAUGCUAUAGUGUCGUUUUUGAGUUCCUGUUUAACGACGUUGCAAGUGUAUUUCAGCAGUGGAUGUUCCCUUCUUUUGUUUUUUGAUUUACAUGUUUUGGCUCGCUUUCGUCUUUUUCUGCGGCUAACUAGUAUAGAAAAUCCAAGUGGACGUUGUUCUUAAACUCCAUAAGGAUUAGAAGGUGGUUCUAGCUCGUUGGAUGGCAUUCGUAAGCAGCUAUGAUAUUUCUUAUCUUUGAUUAAGCGAAGCGAUCUGGGAUCUUUCAAGGAAUGAGAUCCGGGUAUAUAGUCAUGAUCUAGUGUUUAAGAAUUUUAUGACCGACCUCCUUAUGAGUCAUUUUCUUUACAAUGAAAUUCCGUUAGCUCUGUUUCGUCGCUUCCUCCGGCAAAAAGAGGAUAAUCGGUACCCCGCUGCUUGAUCAUUAAACCUGAAAGGGGAUUUUUUCUAAGAAAAAGCUAUCCAUCUAUAAAAGGCCAGAAGGAAUAUUUCCCUGGAUUGACUAGUAGUGAAGAUUAUACAUCAUAGGUGCGCCCCUUGACCCGAGGAAUUGAUCGACAAAUCAUAGGCACCAACUGGACCAGGGCAUCUAAAUUCUUGUUAAUAUCUUCUUCGGCAAUUGGCACCUGGUUAUAUCCUGAGUGGGCAUCCAAGAGGCUCAAUACAAGCUGCCGAAUCUACCAGUAGGUCAGCUAUCGGGAUUGGAUACUCGUCCUUUGGAGUGGCAAGAUUCCUGUUUCUGAAGUCAACACAUAACUGCUGACUUGCCAUUCUUUUGAAUCACUGGUUCAAUAUUUAGAUAUCCCUUGAUGUUCAACUUCAAGGCUAGGGCUGAGAUGCUCCGUUAGUGAAAGACCAACAAUCCAAUCCAAUAAUCUUCUCGUUUCAUCAAUCCAAGUCAGAAGUGGCUUCGAAUCAAGUCAUUUUAGUUCAUCCUUUUUUGAUCGAUGAGAAAGAAAAGAGAUAAGGGAUUAUGCCAAAGAAAAGAAAUAAGGGAUUAUGCGGCUCAAGUCUCUGAGCUUGAUUGCACAUAGGGUGAGAGAAAUCUACCUUCUACUAAGGUGUACUAUGUGUAGGGCCCUGCUAAGUCUUAAAGACCAACUUGAGGACUCAAUCCAACCGCUGACUGACUUCUCGAUGGCCCGAUAAAAGCAAUUAGAAAACAAAUAUAAGUAGUUCCACACACAGGGCUUUGUUUGAAAGACAGAGGUAUGUUCGUAAAGGUAGGCUAGGCGCAGCGCAAUCCUUAGAAAGCAUACCUAGAUUCAAAGCCCACUCUUUCCUUCAGCUUCCACCGAUGUCUUAUGCGGCAAAUAACCACCUAGGGAGUAGAAGUUUCUUAUUGUUUUCGGUCUUUUUUUCGCCUAGUUGUCUCUAUUUCGAUUGCAUUCUAUGUCAAUAGGUUUUUUUAGCUUUAUCGAUGUCAACAGGUUUUUUUAGCUUUAUCGAUAACUAUAACUAUCUCCUCUUGAUGGAAGAACAAAAAUCUCAUUUGAUUCGCUAGGAAUAGGAAAAAUUGGAAUAAGCAGAUGGGAGAUUGGAUUGGGACGAUCAGUUGGUAUUCGAAGAUCCUUUGGGCUUAAAUGAAAUAGACUAAUAAAGGCAUUCGCACAGAGCACACGAUUUGCUAACUAGUCAGGAUUCAGAUUUGGUAGUUUGGAUCAGUGAUAUCAUGACCUGAGCAGGCAUCCUUCACCUCGGAAUUUCCCAUAUUAUGAACAACCAAAGCUCACAUGGAUGCUGCUUUCUGUCUCGGAUACUGGAAUUGGCGCAACUGGAGCAAUUAUCCGAGAUGCAGCGGGCAUGUUCAUUGUGGCCUGCAGUGUUAUGCUCCCUCGGGCAAUUGACGCGACAUCAGCGGAAGCAAAGACAAUAUCUGUUGAGGGCGAGCCCCGGUCCCGAAGAUAUGUGAUUCUAAGUAUGUUAUCGAAGCGUUAAAGCGAGAAUUCACAUCUGUAAAAGAUUCCCACAUUCCGUGAGAUUCGUUGCCUACCAAAGAAAUGUGCAAAUAAGCCAUUUUAUUCGAUUUUGCCUCUGCUGAUCCUGCUCAUGCUUUUUUUUAUCAAUUGGUAAAGUCUCUCAGCCUUGCAAAGUGGAAAAAGAGAUGGGCAUCGGAUCCAUGUUUCGCUAAUCCCGAGCUUGAAGAGAAGUGAAUGCCCGUGGGGAAACGAAGAAGGCCUAGGGUUAUCUAUUGAAAACCAUGCAUGCCCAGAUCUAUUACGAAAGUUGGAAAAACACAAUGGCCAAAUGCACUUAUUUUCGAAGAAGAAUGAGGCAAUCGAUCAUCCGGACGAAAGGGAUAUGGAAAGUGGGCUUGUUCUUCACUCUAUAAGUAAAUAUAACAGGCAUCCAUGGUUAACAAGUAGAGACUUCGCCUUUCUCUAAAGAGCCCAAGAUGUCCUGCUAAAUAAGAUGUAUUGUGAGCACAAGAUGGACCUGAGCUCCUCUCUUAAACCAAGGCAUACUCUACUGGCUUUCCCUUUGCCAGGAUUGGAAAAAGAUAUAGAGCAUCCUUCUUGUCCUCGAAAGUAAUAGUUGUAUUAGAUAGUUCCUCAGUCAAUUUUUUUAGUUAUUGUUUUGUUUUCACUUCAAACUUAAAUGUUCUUUGAAUCCCCUCUUUAAGGCAUAUAAAAUUAGUACUCUUCCUGAGCUAGCUUAAGCAUAUCUCGAGCGAGUGAGUUUCCUUCCAUCAAGUUUUAAGCGAUCAAAUAAGGUCCUUGCUCUCGAGCCAAUGCCAAUACCAAUUGAGAGGGUCUAAACGAUGGAUUCAAAGGAGGUUAAGGGCAAAUGCAAUCUCUGAGCCAGUUGGUGAAAAAAGGGCAUCAAAGAAAGUGUCAGUUGGACUUUCCCUGCCAACCCUACCCAAAUUUCAUACCCAGCAGUUUUCGUGCCUCUAUUGAUAUUUCGUUCCUCUCCUGACGUCGAGCGACUGUCGUUCCCGGGUCUUCACUAUUUGAUAGAAGCCUACAUACCCUCUCUUCAAUCCCCCCUCUACCCUACAGGUAUAGGAGGCCUCGGUAUCUCGAUUUGCAAAGAUGGAUACCUACUCUGCAUAUUAUCUACAUCUACAGCACAGGUUUGUGCGUCCCCUUCGUAAAUGAUCUCAACAGGAUCUGGAGAAACCCCAGAUCCCCCCGAAUCAUCAUCUUCGGACCCCGAAUCAUCAUCCCACCUUUUACGCUUUCGCGAAGAAGACGGGCCUGCCUCCUUAACCCCAUCAUUUGCUUCUGUGCCUUCAAGGGAUUUCAUGGAAUGAGCCUCAGGCUCGACCACGGGAUCCUCGGGAUCUGGCGUCUCAGGCUCUCCUAGCUCCGCAUGACGAUAUUUUCUCGCCAGAUUUGCGGCGGUUCUAACGAACUCGCUUUCCUCUCCCUCUUCCAGGUAGGCUCGAAAGAUAUCCUGAAGAGUAUCUUCACCCUCGCCCUCUCCAUCCCAUAAGACCCGAGUUUGUGUGAAAUCGCGCAAAGACUGCCCUUCCUCUAAAGGAACCUGGGUUCCUACUUCCUCGAAAAUUGUCUCGACGCAGGAGCUUAGCUCCGACAGAAUUGCUUCAUGAGGGGCAGACCUAGCUAUUUCCUCGCGGAGGCCAGGCAAGCCGCCAACGGGAGGUUGGUCUAGGGGAAAGUCACCCUCGUUAGGCGCUUUGGCCAUGACGAGAACGUCGAGAUCCGCCCUUUGCGGGAUUGGAUUAGUUUGCUCGUUGAAAUGCCAUAAAGCGCGAACCAACAUCCGUGAUACGAAAACCAAAAUAAGAAUGAGGAAGAAAAAGAUAUCGUGAUGUAAGUCAAUGAUCAUGGGGCAUCUGUUUUUUAGGACUCACAAUUUCCUGCACUGUGCCUGUAGUGAUUUCAGAAUUCGACAACUUCGCCUACUAAAAGAUGAGUUACAAGAGCACAAUGCUUUUUGUGGCUUCCUGCUCGGCAGAGAAGCCACGCUGCCGGGGUGGUCCUGUCACCCGGAGAAGUUCUCUUUGUCUUCGAGCUUUUAUUCCUCAAUCCACUUAUUCAUUCCCUUCUUUCAUAUACCUCCCCACCAAUAGAUAGAGACAAAUGGGAAUAACCGAACCACGUCUACAAAAUGCCAGUACCAUGCAACUGCUUCAAAGCCAAUGUGAUGCUUCUUGGUCAGAUGACCAAGAUAUUGGCGAAUACCACAUACGAUCAAGAAAAGAGUACCUAUAAUCACAUGAAAACCAUGAAAGCCAGUUGCUAAGAAAAAGGUAGAACCAUAAAUACUAUCCGAAAUAGUGGAGGGUGCUUGGUAAUAUUCCAUUCCUUGAAAGCCAGUGGAUACUAGAGCCAGUGAAACGGUUGCUACUAAAGCGUAAACUGCUCGUUUUUCCUUCCCCGCGAGUAUAGCAUGAUGAGCCCAAGUUACGGAAGCUCCGGAUGAAGGGAGAAUAGGGGUAUUAAGAAGAGGGAUUUUCCAAGGAUCUAAAACCCCAAUCCCUUUUGGGGGCCAAAUACCUCCGACCUCUACCGUAGGUGCCAAAGAAGAAUGAGAAGAAGCCCAAAAAAGCAAAAAGGAGCAUAACCUCCGAGACUAUGAAGAGAAUAGAACCAUAUCGAGGUCCUAAUUGUACAGCUUUUGUAUGAUGCCCUUCCAACGUGGAUUCACGUAGAACAUCCCGCCACCAUACGAACAUGGUAUAAAGGAGAAAUAUUAGGACCAAACUGAGAAGUGUUGCACCCCCCUUCAAAUGAGUGCAUGUACAUCACACCUCUAACACUUUUUUAUUAAAAUCCGUCGACUUUCUAAAUCGUGAGGGUUCAAGUCAAGUCCCUCUAUCCCCAAUAAAAAGCCCAUUUUACUUCCUAACUAUUGUACCAACCUCUAUUUUUCAUUCAUGGUUCAAACAAGAUUCACUAUCUUUCUUAUUCUACUCUUUCACAAACGGAUCCGAACUGACUUCUUUGGAUCUUAUCCCAUUCAUACAAAUGAACAUAUUAUAGUAUAGGCAAGUAAUCCCUAUUAUUAAGUAAGUCAUUCACAAUCCAUAUCAUUAUCCUGAUAUUUACUAAGUCCAAUUUGAGAAUACUUUUUUCUUUUUUAGUCCCUUUAAUUGACAUAGAUACAAGUACUCUACUAGGAUGAUGCAUAAUAAAUAGUCAGGAUAGCUCAGUUGGUAGNNNNNNNNNNNNNNNNNNNNNNNNNNNNNNNNNNNNNNNNNNNNNNNNNNNNNNNNNNNNNNNNNNNNNNNNNNNNNNNNNNNNNNNNNNNNNNNNNNNNNNNNNNNNNNNNNNNNNNNNNNNNNNNNNNNNNNNNNNNNNNNNNNNNNNNNNNNNNNNNNNNNNNNNNNNNNNNNNNNNNNNNNNNNNNNNNNNNNNNNNAAAAACCUCGUGGCACCAGUUCAAAUCUGGUUCCUGGCACAGAAAAAAGGAUCUGGAAAAGAAGAUAGGAAUGGGGCACCAAGGAAGGAUUGUAGGUAGGGAUGCCCUUAGAUCCGUUCUCAAUAGCUUGUGAUAAGGCAAGAAAGCUAGUAGAUGUAUAUUCGUUUCUCAUGAUAAUGAGCGAAAAGGGUGGAAUUGUGACCCGAAUACCAACCCUUGCUAUACAUCCCGAGUGUGGUCUUCGAUGAAGCAUCAUCUUGGUGGUCAUCCCAAGCUGUAGUAUUGCCAGAUUCUGGAAACUUAGAAACUAGCUUGCAAGAAAAGAAGAAAAUCAAGUAUACGUUUGCUUGUUGGAUUGAGCACUCGUUUCAGAAGAACCUUCUUUUGGGAUAACUCGUUCAGGCAAUAUCUCGCUGUGGCAGUAAUAGCCCAAUGGCUUCUAGUUGUUUUUUUACCCUUCUGGGCUCUUUUCCCCCGGCGGUUAGUUUCAGCAUAAAAGGAAGAAGUCGGGUCCGGGCGGUUCGCCUUUUUGAAUGCAGCAGUGUUUUUGGCUUUGGCAAUACCAGCUAGCUAGCUACUUACUUGUGUGGGAGUCCUAUAAAGAAAAGCCUGAGUUAUAGACUGACUAAAGAAAUCCACCUAAGCCGUAAGUUUUUGUUACAGUUGGCACACCUCCUUGCAAACUCGACAAUCUGAUUCUAGUAGAAAGUGGACUAAGUCUUAAGAGAGAUAAGCCGGUCUUUAUACACUGGCCCUGCUUCGAAUUCAUUCAGUGGCUAGAUGCAUUGUAAGCAAUUCCAGUCCCAGUUGCUGAGGUGGCGUAGUCACCCUACCUAAGUAUUGAACAAAACCAACCAUUUGUAUAAUAUUAUCCUAUCUUGCAUAUUAAUUAAGACCACUUAUUAGAUCAAGGUUGGCAUACAUAGCAUAGGAAGGUGGAGAUCUGAAGUAAUCUAUAUGUCCCUCAGCUAGUCAUCCAUUUCUCUGGAUAUGAAGUUUACAACAUAAAAAAAUGACCCUUUUCAUAAUGAAAUCCAUUACAUGCCAUCCAAAGAACUCUGAUCUGGAUUACCAGCUUUGGGAUGGAAGGACGGAUCGAUCGACCAAGCAACAACGAUCCCUUUACGAUGGUCAAGUGCGAAGGUCCCGAUCGGAUUGCCGAUCUGCCAGUGUUGUUUGACUGAUUUUUUGCAUCUCAAAACCAUUGAUGCUGACCUGUCACUGCUCAAGUGAUUUUCCUGCAUGGUUCUAGGAACCAAAAGAAGACUUUGGGUAGGUCAACGAUAGAUUCUAUGUCUAUAAUGGAACGUAGGUUCUUUUUAGGAGGAAAGCUUAGAAGGAUUCUUUUCAGAGCGUAAGAACCAUCGAAGAGCAUGGGAUUGGUAUUGCUGGCAGGGACUUUAAAGUGAGAGCUUGAUCACUAAACCCCUGCUGCUUUCGAUCAUUCCUGCUAAAGCAGUUGGCAAUGACUCAUUGGAAACUUCUAUUGGAUCUGGGAGAAGAAGAAAUCCAAUCAAUGGGUAGGUAGUCAAUUUCUGGCGAAAGCACAAACCUUUUCUCUUACUUAAGGCGAUAAAAUCCAUUCAUUUCGAUAAUAAUUUGUUUGAGAUGUGUUUUACCGAGAAGGUAUAUGGUUUACGGUUCUAAGCCGUUGAGUUCGUGUUUUGGUAGUUGUUGUUUUGAAGGAUGGCGGAUCCAGAGUUGAAGGAUGGCGAGAAUCAUAAUUACAAGAAGGCAACUACGCGAUUCAAUAUCAUUUUUGUAAGAAUGGAAGCAAGACAUAAAAAUUGCUAAGCUGCUGUGACCAGAGGUCGGGAGGCAAAGACGAAAGGGAUGCCCUUUCUCCAUCUUGACCGAAUGCGUUAUCUGUUGUCUCUAUUCCUAUUAACCCUUGGCCGCGUAUACCAUUAUCACGAGGGCGAUACACAGAAAAAAACCAAACCAUCUGUGGAACCGUUCGAUGAACGUAGGUCGGUCGGAAAGAAAGCGCGGUGUAGCUGGCAUCAGCAUCUCUUGUCAGGUUCGCACGCACAAGGGUGGUGAGUAGGUCUCUUUACGUGUCCCGUGAGGCAAGGAAUUCUUUGACCAAUGAUAUCAUGGUAUCAGAGUCGCCGAUCGAGAUUUCUCAUGGCUACCCAUUAUUUUCGCUUGAAAGAUCUUCACAUGUAGGCGGAGCCGUCCCUUUUGAAAAGUGGAUCUUUAGUCCAUUCAUUCUAAGUACUUUAUUAUUUAUUCUGUAGAAUAAGAAGGUUUCACAGGCAUGUGCUUCAUGGCGAUAAGUCGUAAAGCAUGGAUAGGUGGAAAUGCGCUAUAAAGAUUCGGCAUCGCUCGAUCAAACAAAGGGAAAAAUCAUCAAGAAUCUCAUCUUGCUCUGAAUCAUCUACCAAGGGUUCACUGUCAAUGCAAUUUGAGUUGGCCAACUCCGGUGCCUCUAAGUCAGAAGUAUCUCUAUUGGCAAGCUCUCAUUGACAUAAUCCGGUGUAGGUGUAGGGAGCUGACUCUCAUGUGGAUCAAGAAAUAUCUCCGUAGUGCUCAGGACAGGCUGUGAGCAUCUUAUCUGCUUGGAUCAGGUAACCGCUUCAUUUCUUUUCAGAAGCUCAAACACAGUGUUUUCCAAUAUAGAAGCGGAGUAGUUCUUGUGCAAUCUAGGCAUAGGGCUACUAGAAUCCAUCACUAAAAGAGGAGUUUUCCGAGCUCUAUCGACACAACAGGACUCUAGAUAUUGGCAACAAAAGGGCACUUACCCCUAAACUAGAUUACUCUUCUUCUUCCUAUGAUAAAGCGGGGGCUGAAAGGGACUCUUUAAAGUACUUCAACGUUAUCACUGGACUUUCGUGUCAAUCCAACUGGAGGAGGGAAAUCGGGAGAAUAAAGAAGUCUUGCACGAGGGCGGCCUCUUUCCAUGCCUUCAAAUCCAUUUGCCACACUUUCAGAUCUCGGAUAUACAAUGAUGAAUCCUGACGAUCUACGAUCAUAGAACGCAGUAAUAUGAAUGUCUCUCACGAGCCCCAAAGAUUCAAUCAAGUAUGCCUGCUUUGUUGGCACAUGGAAAGGUAGAACGACCUUCCGCCAUGUCAACCGCUCACUAGGCUUCUUGCUGCGGUGAAGUUGCUUCAUCACCCGGCUCAACAUCAGCCUCAUCCCCCCAUUUUAAGCUUUGGUUAUAGUAUCCUUUAGUUCCACUUCUUCAGCGAUCUCUCCCGCAAUCUUCUUUCCCCACUCCUCAUCCAAGUGAGGAGCUACCCGAGAUCAUCGAAACCCACCACACAAACCCUAACUGGCAAAACCGAUCUACGAACACCAAGGGAUAUUUAAAAAAAGAAGUAUGAAUCCGUGUCUUCUCUGCCAUUUGAUUUCCUUCACCACUAGCACUAGCCCCGCGAGCUACUAGAGUAUAGCAACUUUCGCUACCUUGACUCUUCUUGUUAUUAUCCAGACCCAUCAAGUCAUUCAAAAGCAAAGAAAGAAAGAUGAAUAAGCAAAGCGAAGGCCAAGCCUGAUCUCCCUUUCCCUUGAUAUGGUGGACUCCUAAAAUAGGCUUUCUUUGUUCGUAUGAUUUUGCAGAAUACUAUAAUAAGCCACUCCUGAAAAUGGGCUGGCUACUCGAACCAAAUAUUGAACUUGCUCUUUAGCAUAGGUAGACUUCACUACCUGGAUAGGUCAGCCUCGUUCCCAUUUCUCUGGUCCUAUUUUUUUUUUUUUGGCAAGUACCAUUCCUGCUAUUCACAUUGAUUGAGUACUUUAUAGUUUUCUUCUUGAUGGAAGUGUCAAAUACUUAGUAGGAAGUCCCGGUGGGUAAUCACCAAAUGUUCUAGUACAAGUACAUCCAGUUCGGGUGGUCAUCUAGUAUGGGACCUAAGAGAAGCCCUUUUUGAAUCCUUUUAUUAAGCCAUUGCUAAUCCCGUAAGGCAAUCCUUCAACGUUGUAGAAAAGAGUUCAAUACAAAAGCACACAAAGGCUUUGGACUAUGAAAGGCUACCUUUAUCAUGCAUGAAUAAGUCCAGGAGAUUAUGUCCUCAACAAACCUAUCUACUACUAAAUGACAAUUAAAGGGACGCCAACCAUUGGAGGUGAUACUGGUGAUGGUAAUGGUUUAGAUUCUUCUCUUUUUCCUGGGUACAUAAAGAUAAGAAGAAGGCAAUGAAAAGCCCUUAGAAAAGGCUAUGAAGAAACUGAUCCACUAUUUGUUUGAAACCUGUCAUCCACGUUAGAAAGAGAGCCAUGAAAAGCAUAGAUCCUCAAGGAAAGGAAAAAACACCACUUCGUCUAUUUACGAUUCCCAUAAACCAGGCCGUGCUUUCUUUUAUUUAGUAAGCUCAGCCGAAGAGCCCUGGACCGGUAGCACCUGCAAAUGAAACAUGCAUGCCUUUCGCUGCGCGCCUUUACUUGCUUGAGAAAUCAAACAAUGCAUUUCUUCUCAACAUAAGCAUAUACCGGUAUUUCUCUCUAGCCUAUACUUGACCUUGCGUACAAGCCUAUUGUCCUAUCGGUAUGCCUAUGUGACCCAUAUGUGCUAAACCGGUACUUGUUACUUACUUCUAUCUAUUAAACGUUACCGGUACUUAGUUACCGUGACUUAAUCAUGCUUUGUACUAAACCUUACUACGUAGUUCAAGCUAUACUGACCUUUCCAUGUUUUGUACUCAUCACUUGCCUAUGAGCUUACCUGUGAAUACUUUGUCCAGCAGCCCUUGUUUCUAAGCACCCAUCUCUUGCUUUGCUUAAACUCCUCCUUGCAACCAGAAACCUAUCGCCCCUCUCUUUUCAAAACAAACAACGCGGAGCGCCUUGUGAAGUGAAAAGAUGAGCUAUGAUGACUUGGCUUCCUUUCUUCUUUUCCUUGUGCAAGUCAACUGUUCCCUGGCACACCUUCAGUUCAGCUGUGACAUCUUGCACUUGUAAUAUCACUUGCUUGCCUUUAUGCUUGAGUUUUAGCAUUCCUUUACUCCAAGUCAACUGCCAUUUGACCAAAACUUGACAACCAGUCAAUGCCUAAAAUAAGAUCAUAACCAAGUACAUUGUAUAGUUGUUAAGCAAGUAGUGCUUUGAAGCAAGAAUCAAGUAGUUGUUAAAGAGAACCUAUAGCAAGAAAGGAGAAUCAAGCCUAUUGCUUGCAACGAGAAGAUUAGAAGAAAUCCUAUUGCUUAGAAUCAAUGCAUAUGCUUCAUAUCAGGAGAGACAAGUCAGAAAGGAUAGUAAAGCCUGCAGCUCUAGUAGUGCAAACUUUGAUCAAGCUAUCAAGUACUUAAUCGUUACCGAAGAACUCCUUAUAUUAUAUAAUAAUAAUAAUGCUUAUGCCUAUCUAUUGUUAAAGACUUACUUUGCUAGGGCAGUUCAUUCAAAGCACAUACCAUUAUGGCUAGCUAAAACGAAAGAAUGAGAGUACAAGGUAUGGGUCUACGCUUCCAGCUUGCUCUAGAAAAACUUAAAUUGGAUCUCUCUCUGGUGGGAGCCUGCCAAGCAGGAAAGCUUGUUAUAGUCGUGUUUUAUUCAUCUCUUCCCCUCUCCGCAGACAAUCACUAUAACUACUUCAACCUUCUUCCGUGCUUUUGGUUCAGGAAAAACAGUGGCAAGAAAUGUUGAUUUCCCUUUAACGGGUGUACAGGACCCGAGAAAUAUGCAGGUUUCUAAUAGUGCUCACUCCAGUCGAGUCCCGGCACAGUCCGAAUGGAAGUUCAUUCAUUGGAGUAGUGCCAAGCAAGAAAGUGCUCAAAGGUAUCAUAGUUCAUAGGUAUUAACAGGAUCCUUCUUGCAUCAAUUGGAUUGAAAAUUGACGUGAUUAGCUGCUCGUCCCAAGUACCCGAAGCAGGGUCAAUCAACUCAUUUACCUUUGUGAGAAGUGUACCUCCCCUUUCCGUAGUGAUUUUACUAUUGGGACUUCCUGGAACCCAAGGGUCGUUCCAUAUGUUAAUUUGCUCUCCUGUUCCAAUUCUCCUAAUGUGUCUACGUUUAUAUGCAUAUCCAUCUUUACUGCACAAAGCCCCGGCCCAGACCUCUUAUUUUUGAUUGAGUGAAUGCAUUAAUAAGCCACCAGAAUGUUAUCCGUUAUUAAACGACCGGGUACAACAAAAGCACUCUGUGUUUGUGAAAUUACCUCAUCCAAUACUGUACGGAACUGAGAUAUUUCCUGCGGGGAUCUCACCUUUGGGAUUAAAACAAUAACAGUUCUAUUAAUGAUCUGUGGGAGGUAGCCGCUGUUUAGGAAACCAAGGACUGCAGCCGUUUUCUCGCAGAGCCGAGUCGGGCUAGUAAGAAGUAGCUACUUUAUGCAGCUUUGUAUCUGGUCCGGGACCUCAUCAUAGCAAACCAUCUACGCAUUUUUUAAACCAAUGGUCAAUCAAACAACUUUCCUCAGCCUUCUUUUCUGGUUGAUUGAGCAAGCCCUGAGACCGAGAGGGAUGCACUCCUGCAUGCAAAGGAAGAGAGGUGUAUAGAAUAGAGCCGAGAAUAUCACCUAGAACGUGCUUUUGGUACCAUGGAACGCAGUCCCUGUGACCCUAUAACCGGCGGAUCGAUCCUUGUAGGCAGCCACUCCAUUGGUUGAGAUGCAUCUACUGUCUCAUCUUGGCUAUCUACUAGCAAACCGCCCACAGGUUCUUGCAUAGUAUCACGAGUCAUGUUAACCUCUCCCUCCUGGUGCUGAAGAAUAGAAAGAAGCCAAACCCACCAGGACUUCUGUUAAAAUCAGAAAGAGAUCCGCCCACAGAUUGGCAAAACCACACUCCCCCGUUUCCAGCUUAGUGAGGGGAUUCCUUUAAUGCUUUCCCUUCAAGGGAAAACCUCUGAAAGAAUUUCCAUAUUGACCUUGGACAUAUAAGAGUUCCGAAUCANNNNNNNNNNNNNNNNNNNNNNNNNNNNNNNNNNNNNNNNNNNNNNNNNNNNNNNNNNNNNNNNNNNNNNNNNNNNNNNNNNNNNNNNNNNNNNNNNNNNNNNNNNNNNNNNNNNNNNNNNNNNNNNNNNNNNNNNNNNNNNNNNNNNNNNNNNNNNNNNNNNNNNNNNNNNNNNNNNNNNNNNNNNNNNNNNNNNNNNNNNNNNNNNNNNNNNNNNNNNNNNNNNNNNNNNNNNNNNNNNNNNNNNNNNNNNNNNNNNNNNNNNNNNNNNNNNNNNNNNNNNNNNNNNNNNNNNNNNNNNNNNNNNNNNNNNNNNNNNNNNNNNNNNNNNNNNNNNNNNNNNNNNNNNNNNNNNNNNNNNNAGAAUCUACAACGCACUAGAACGCCCUUGUUGAUGAUUAUUUACUGCGACUGCAUCCAGCUCGAAUAAUGUGAUAUCUCACACCGAGUUCAAAGAUACUUAACCCUUCCUCCUCUUACAAAUACUACAAAAUGUUCUUGUAUGCCCAAUACCUGGUAUAAGCAGUGAUUUCAAAUCCAGAAGUUAAUCGUACUAAUUUCCUUUACGUAAGGCAGAGUUGGGUUUUGGGGGUUGAUAGUGGAAAAGUCGACAGAGAAGGAUCAACAUAUCCUUGUUUAAAUAGGUCCACUAGACCUUAGCUACUUAAUUUCAUGGUAUUUAGCACGGACAAUAGAAGAUUGGAAUGAUGGUAUCAAUGUGCCGCAUUGAAAUGAGAGUGGCCAUAUCGCUAUCAAUCAAGGUGGGCCAGAUCAGCCAUCUCCACAGAUUGCUAGUUUGCUAAAAACAAUCCAGCUUUUGCCAAAAGAAAGCCAAACUCUCAUCCAGAUGCAUCUCGAUUCACAUUUCUAUAUGAUAAUAUGCACGACCGAUUCUCGUAUCUGCUGAUAUAAGAGAUUCUUUCAAAAGAUAACCCUUACCCCUAACCCCUGGGUGGGCGAAAGAUGGAGACAAUACUGCCAUUGAAGCGCAAGAGUGAGCAGCAGUCCGGUCAGCCCUUGCUUUCUCAACUUGAGCAGGAAACUUCCAACCAAAUAGGAGGGAGGGGCACUCUCAAAUAGGAAUGCAAACAUAAAACGCGUGCUCUUGAGUGUCAAUUCCUCUUCUGACCGAAGUGAAUAACAAACAUCCCUUCCAUCUGGACACUGAAUAAUGAGAGGAUCAUAGAAGUUAUCGGAAUCCGGGGCUAGAGUCUUUGGAUGAACAUCCACAGAUGACCGAUUCCCUGCGCUAGCAAGUAUUGGAUUGGAGUGGGGGUUAGUUGGCUCACCAUAUGGUAUAGAUCGAUAGAUAUAUUUGAUACGUCCUAUAACAUGGAGAUGGAGAUAGCCAAGCCCCUUUCUCGAAAGGCAAACCCUCUUUAUCAUCCAACAUAGGAUCUCCCUAUGGAAUACCACCAUUGUCUUUCUCCAUCUCACUCGUAUAUAUCGGUAUAAAUAGCUCAGCUCACGAAAUAGAGCGAGCAAGAGCUCGAACUUGGUAAGAAAGUUCGGAUAAGUCGACUCGACUCCUCAGUGCAGCGUACACUUGCUUCAGCAAAACGAGGCUCAUCCAUUUGUUUUGAUCCGAAUCACACUCUAGACCAGCUCUUCUUAUAGAGAAGGAACUCCUCUUUGACAGUCAUACGAGAGGGAAGAGACUCAAAGUUGAUGAGAAUAGUCGAUUUGACCGGUAUCACGAAUAGCAGUUUUAGUAGAAAAGGGCGUUGAUGAUUGAAAGGAUUUCUCCUCGAACCACUAGUAACUAUGUCAGCUUUUGUCAUUCUAAUGAUAUUGAAUCGGGUCAAUAUUUGGAAUAACAAUAUCUGAUCUAUCAAAUCGAUUCAUCCUUUUCCAUUGCAUUUUUCCAUUGCAUUGAAUAGUAUAACAUAGGAAUUUGAUCCAAACAAACUCCGAAUUGGGAUUUCUUAUUGGAUGAGGAAUCCCAUUGCAUUUUUCAUCCUUUUCCAUUUUUCUUCUUUCAGGCAGUUUUGGCUCGCAAUAAAGCUAGGGUCCUGAUCGAGCAAGACUACAUCCUAUCUAUCUACCUCUCCAAACACAAUAUCUUGAGUACCUAUGAUGGUGACUACAUCUGUUGGCAUGUGAUGUUUGGACAUAGAAUCGAGUCCUUGUGAAUGGGCAAAGCCAGGUGCUCUUAUUUUACAACGGUAGGGACGAUUACUCCCAUUACUGACAAGAAAGACACCAAAUUCACCUUUAGGUGCUUCAACUGUGGUAUAGGUAGAAGGAGCUGGUACGGAAAAACCUUCUGUAUAAAGUUCGAAAUGGUGAAUUGAGGUAGAGUAGACCGAUGAUCCGGUAGUCAUUUGGCCGGCUAUGGAAAGAAAAAGCUUGCAUCUGCUCCCCCUAAACUAUAACGGGUCCCAUCUCUGUCCAAACCUAACGUGGUAGUUUCCCAUCAUAAGGCUUUCCAUCUAUAGAUUGAGCCAUUACCCACCAAGGACCCCAUUCGUUCAGAACUCAGUCGAAUGCUUCUAUAGAUAAGGCGGAACGUCCUUAGUUCAGCAUUAUAGCACAUAGUCUUCGACGCUACUACAGCGCUUCGCUAACUCGAAGCGCCUCGCUAUGAGAAUGACGCGUCGCUAAUGCUCGGCUAAGUCGUCGAACCCUCGUGCUGACCAUUCGCUUUCUCAGUAGCGAAAGCGCUUCUCUUUUCCCCUUAACUUCAUAAAGUAUUUGGAAAGAAAAGAAAGAGAUUCUUGGUUUUAUUGCUCCCGCUUCCUCAUCUGCGCUCGUCAAGCCAACUUUGCUUUUUGGGAGGCGGAAGAGGGGUUAAAGCGGACAUGUCAAAAUGACAGCAUCGAAGAUAUCUAUAUACACAGGAACGCUUAUUCCGUACUGUGUUCCGGAAAAAGUAGCCUACUUGACAGAAAGGGCAGGCACUCUCGGCUCGGAGGUAGGCACUCUCGUCUUUCAACCCCACCAUCACUUUGAAUUUAGUGGGGCACUGUUUACUUACAACCUCUACGAGUUGCAAGUGAAUGGGGCCGGUGCGUGGUGAACGGAAGGGUUCAUCAAGCCAUUUAUCGCCUUAACCCCUAAACUAAAUAGGAAGAGGGGUACUUGACUAAUAGGGGGCAAUUGCAUUGCACCUGACUGUGAGGGACCUCUUGAUACCUUAUGUUCACUUCCUAACUAGUAGCCGGUUUCCUGUCGCGGAAGCCUUUUCCCAGUGCGCGGAGCCCCAAUGAGGAAGGUGUUAGUGCUUUCUCAUGGGGUCAAUAAUGCUAAUCCCUCUUUUUGUGCCGGGAAGAAGAUAAGAAAAGGCGAAGCCUUCUCUUGGUUUCCCAACCUGUUGCUUCUAAAGGCUGCCCUCUCUCGGCUGGAUUUUGGUCCAACCUACUGCGAGGAUCCCGUAUCCCGUACAUCGUCUUUCUCCCUCCUGGGUUCCCGUGGUUCCUAUGCCGCCGUGUCUCCCGGUCCUUUUCUUUUAGUGCUUCGACCCGAAGCGAUAGCUUGACGCGUUUUCCGUGGAUAAGAUGGCAGUGCUCCAGCUCACUAAAGAAUGGGACGGCAGUGGUCCGCUGGAAAGCUCGUUCUGAUCCUGGACGUAGUACAUUGGAAUCCUGAAGCACCACCACGAACGCUACCGCGCGUGCGCCUGCGGUGCGGUAAGGCACCACCCUGUUGUGCCAGUAGCCAACUCCGGCGUGUCAGCUUAGUUAUCCUCAUCAAGCCACAACCUUGAUGUCUAGCUUCCCAACUGGUAGACGGUUCCCUUUCCCCCGGAUCAAUGAAGAAGGGAGAUGUCAGUUGAUUCUUCCGAAGAACCGGAAGCGAAGCGCUAUGCCGGGGCGAGGGGACGGGAAAAGAAACAACUCUGAAGAAAGAUAUUAGGACUCCCAAUGCUUCUCCACGCCCAACGAGAUGCGCCAACCUCGGGAUGCUUUACUCCUAACCCCACGGCGGUUCCGAGAUGGAGCUUAAUCUGAGUCACGGUUAAGAACGGCGAUGAUCUACGUUUCACACGGCGCACGAUUCUAUGGAUAGUUUCAUUCGAGAUCGUGAUGGAGGACAUAGCUUACGAUCAUCGGCUUUGAUCAUGCCACUAGGCAUUUGAUUAGGACAUUGCACAAUGAUCCGAACACUUUGUCGCAUCACUUCGAUACGGAUACAGUAACGAUCAUAGCGAUCUCCUCUGGUACCUACUGGUACGUCAAGAUCCGAUUGGUCAUGAACAUCGUAAGGUGCUGCUCUUCGCGAAUCCCAGCAUACCCCAGGUUGGGAUGGGUAGGCCCACCACUUCACUUUUGCACUUUCACUUAGGCCCGGGCCAAGUCAGUGAGGGGACCCUGUCGGGCUCCUUCCCCCCCCCCCCAAAACAAAAUGUACGUGGGAGUUUCCCUUCAUACGGCUCGAAUCAUUCUCAGAUGCCCUGAGAGGCAUCUUUCCUUAUGAUCUGGUGGUUGACACGCGCGCAAACGAGCACCAGCCGCAACAACAAGGAACUAUGACCAAUAGAGUCAGACACAGAGCGUCAUACUUCUUUAUCUUGUGAUGGUUGAGGAGUUUCUUUCUCAGAGGGUGCGGGACGCUUGCAGAGUCUGUGCCUUCCGUACCACCACAAGUCGUUCUUGGGCAGAUCCCACUCCUAAACAUAAGGGAGGGAUAGGGGGAAAGGGGCCCUAAAAUCAUAUAAAUAGGGUUGUAGAAAGACCACUUUCAUUCGACGUUCCGGGGCGCCUGAUUCGAUCGACGAAUUUGGCGAGCUGAUCCGCUUUGAUCCAGGAGAAAGCCCAGUCAGCCACCUUUUCGGUGCAGGUCACGUGACCUACAGCUCGGCCUUUGCUUUUUGAGACUUCCUCUACCCACAUCUCUAUGUGCCCGCAGCACUUUCAUAUGGAGAAAGAUGGGCUUACCAUGUUCCAUCAAUAGCACCUAACCUAAGCCGAUUUUGGCAGACGGUGCUCCACCCCGGUGAACUCAUGCGGUUCCGACGUGCCCAGAGGCCAGAGGCAAAUCCGUUCACGGUCCGUAGGACCAACACCACUCGAAGGUUGAUGGCCCGCGCCGCCUAGAAUAGGAAUCUUUGACUGGGAUUACACACAUUCGCUCACUUACGUUGUCCCCCCUCAGCUCACCCUAGCCCCGGGUACGUCGUCUCCAAGGCUUCACACAAAAUCUUCACUGACAACAUAUGCAUGCUUUUGUAGGGUUAGGCAGAACCGUUGUUGCCUGAUGGGAACUUCCCCCAUAUUGCUAUCAAUGUCUUCAUGUCGCAUGACCUCUUAACAUUACACCACUGAAUCCCCAAUCCUUUGCUUGCUGUGCAGUGACAGUACCAAUAUCCACUAAUCGUUGUUUCCAGAUAGGAUUGCCGGUUGACAUCUCUUCUAAUUCGUCGAUACGAGAAGCAAAUUGUUGUGUGGAGGAAUCAAUAUCUCGACAUAAGCCAAGAGGCAGAUCUUGUGCCACUCCACCAGGUCGUAUGAAACUGGCAUGCAUCCUGGCUCCCGGGACUCUUUCAUAGAAUUCCAACAAUUUCUCCCGCUCCUCAAAAGCCCAAAGGAACGGAGUUGAUGCUCCCACAUCCAUAGCAUGAGUAGUUGAAGCAAGUGAAUGAUUCGAAAUUCGAGUUAUUUCACAGAAUAACACUCUUAUAUAUUGAGCUCGUAAUGGUACCUCACAAUUCAAAAGUCUCUCUACGGCUGAAGAAUGAGCUUGUUCUUGGGCCAUCGUAGAAACAUAGAUAGGGUCAACGACGGAACGAACAACAAAACUUUACGACAGCUUUUUCGUACACGUUCACUUGCAUCACAUACACAAGUGCUCUCUGAACCGUGCAAUAAGGUCACCCAUAACACGGCUCUCCCACUGGAUUUACCUUAGCCCCGGGCCAUGCUAUUCCAUGAUAUUGGAAAAAGUUGACUAAUUAUUAUCAUCGUCUUGAAAGUUGGGCGCCUUUUGAAUAUGAGUGGGGCUCCUAGUCUAGGCGGCGCCCUCGUGGAGCCAAACCGAAGGAAGAGCAAAAGGGCGAGGCCACACCCGACUUCGAAUAGGAGGGGGGCUUAGCUCUGGAUCCUGCCUGCUUGCAGAAAUGAAUGGAUCAGAAAGGGGGCUGGGUUCUAUUUCCGGGCCGGGUAGGAGGUGAAGGCCAGAAGAAGAAGAGAAGUGCGCCUUCCCGGUAAGGAAGAGGAUAAAAAGGUGUUGUCAUCUAUCUCGACCUGUUUCCCGAGGCGUUGGAAAUGAAGACCGGCUCAGAGAAUCACUGGCGUGCUUUCUCUCCCCCAUCAUUUCGCCAACAAAGAAGUCAUCCUUGACUUGACGAUUGACCAUUUCAUCCCUACCGAGCCGCCUCUUAGAAGUAUUUACCUCUGCCUUUCUUUUUUUAGAACAUACCCUUCAAAUACAAGAAAGAAAAGUUCCUCGUCUGUGAUUUAAUCGGCCCUAAGGGAGUUUACUCGACCCAUUCUCCAGUCUCCCGCACUGCUCAAGUGUGCGACUCCGUAUGAGGACCUCCUUCCCUUUUGCUCUGCCCACUCUCCGUUCACACGGUUAUCAAAGCGGAGGAAGGGCGGGCAGCAGGUACCACGAGCCCUCUGUCCCACACAUCUACCAAGAAGCAAGUGUAGUUCACCGGUUCCACCGAAUGCUCCUAUCUCUCGGCAAAGAUCGUGUGAGUGUGCAGUUAUGCUUCGGAUGCUUCGCCAUGGAAUAGAUCUACUCAGUUCCCCUUCUUUUCCGGUGCACUCACUUUGUAUCUCCGACACACAAGGAAGGACGCGGUGGGAAGAAAGCUGCCCAAGCCUUUGUCCGGUCGAUCAUUCCGCUGGCAUCUUGCAUUCACGUCUCCGUUUCACUGCCGCUCGGGAAUGUAGUUGUAGAUACGUGAGUCUUAGUGGGUCAUUGGCUCCACCUCUUAUCUCCUUCUACGACAUGUUGUAGUCGUCGCCAUAUUCAAUAUGUCACUUAGUCAUAUCUGCCUCGCAGCAGGUCAGAACCUCCGAAAGAAAGGGAGGGAGGACUUCAUUCAGUGACCCCGCGAUCGCCCUCUAAACGAUCAAAAUAAGGUAAAGCUUGAAGAUUAGUUUUGUACUCGAUUAAUUUCUCAGUCCCUCUAAUCGGGUGGGCGCCGACCGACCGGAUCCCCCUGAAAACCGUACGUGCGGGUCUCCCAGCAUGCGGCUCACGCCAUUUGAGGUGGCCCAGCCCAGCAUUCAUUCACAAAUCCUGUAGUGAAAUUGAGACUGCUCGACCUCGGAAGCUAAUUCGCGUGUAGGCAGCGCUGUCUUAAUACCGUUGACUGUAUCUAUUCAUUGAUACAUUGGCUCGCUCCCCCCCUCUUUUUUCAAGAAUGAAUGAGCCGCUCGGACCUUCCAUUUCCGUCAAAUGACCCGGCUUCCCCUGGCUCUUCCACCGUCCGGGCUCCCUUUCCUCCCUAUGCUCCCCCGACGUAGGCCCACCACGCUUCGCGCCUGCGGCGUUUUCGCGAGACGGUCUUUGCGAGUAGUGCCAUCCUCCCCGCAGGCUGUCUGUAUGGGUGGGUUGUCCCUUGCUGCUACGUUCUGUUAGGCGCUAUGAAUUACAGGAAAUUCAGUGGUUGACUUGGACAGCAGGCGGGUUACACGUUCCACUGUGCGGAGAUGUGAGGUGCAGGUGGUGAUGAUCACCCCGGGGUAUGCGCUAGCGCCCUUGACGGGCACUCCAGGACCCGCCUACGCUCGUGAAAACCCAGGUCGGUCCUCCGACCAGAUGUGUGGAUAACGAGGCCACCUUCACAACCUUCUCCCUUCUAUCUUUAUCCAAAGUCAGGUAGGGCGGUUCGCUUGAGUUGCUCAACCGUCCCUUUGCCCGGUGCUCAUGACGCGCUACGGAACCUCCACCGUGCUAGCGGCAUAGGAGCCUACUCAGCGUCAGUGGCUUCGUGCCGCACUGGAGUGAUCCAAUAUGUGGUUCCGCAUGUUCCACCACUUCUCCGUUCAUUUCCAAUACUGAUCGUGAAACACCAUGAGCAGCAGGAUGUUGAGGUCCGGAAUUCGAAGUGAAAUUCUUGAUUUGCCCGUUCCUAGUCGUCAUGGGAAAGAAAUAAGAAAUAAAUAAGAAAGAGAUUAUUCCCCUAGAGCUUGUCCAGUACCACCAGUACUCAAACUGCAUCUCCGCGCGUCUACCUGGCGCUUUUAUUAGCCGCCUUGCAUGCAAGCGAAGCGCUAUUGGUGGCAAUUAAUAGCUCACUGAGCGAUGAUUGAUGCAGUCAGCCAGUGCCCUCAAUUAUUCUAUUCCUGAUAGAAGGAUCAUGGCGCCCCGAAAGCAUUCCAUCCAGCAGCAGCAUCUCCUUCAACCACGCGAGGAAAAAUUGAUGUUAGCUACAUUCGAGCGUUCACCACACAGAAGCGAUCUCGAACACUACCUAUGAUAAUAAAUCCAAAGGAAAGGUCGACAAAAUGAUUCAAUCUGACUUUAUCGGUAUUCUGGAUUGAGUAAAAAAGGGAUAUAUGAAGUUCAAGGCCUUGCCAAAACUGUCAUGGCCCUAUUAUGUAUAGGCCGUACUAAGCCAAUAGCGAAUAACAAACUCUUUCCUGCUCCCUCGACCUUAAUUAACUCCCCCAUCCUGCCAAGCCUCAGCUGCCAGCCCAUUGUAUCUAAGCUCACUGCGGCAAAUUGAUACAAGUAGCUAAAGAUCUCGCAUCCGACAUCUCCAGCCGAACGGUUAGGCAACACUAGGGUGCCUGGGUCAAAAUUCCGCUUACCAAACAAGAUGUCGAGAGGCGAACUCUGUAAUUCCCCUCCUGCAAAAGUGAUAGCGGCUGUAGCAUCCGUGUGGAAGAGGGUAAGCUUUCGGCAACACCUUUUUCAGAUUGGAAAGGAUGAAUACUUGUGUUGGGUCCUGCAGACCAGGAUAGCCUCAGAUCAAAACCUAAUAAAUGUACCUGGGGUUGAUCAUAUUUUUUGGGCAAUAAGUAUUCAGGAAUUUGAGCGCUUAUGUAGCUAAAAACUCUGCCACCUGAAUACUUGAUUCAUUAAGGUCGUCACCCUAUACCCGGAAGUCUCUAUCGUUUUCUUUGUCUGUUAAGAUUCACAGGGUUGGGACUCCCUAAAUCAAACUGCAAUCGUUGUUUAUCAACCACUCACGACGACACCGAGAUCUUCGACUUAGCUCCCACAGGUCAUCCACCCGGGGCGGAAGAUAACGAAAGGGAGACAAAGUCCUAACUAAAUCAACACACAAUAACCUCAACCUUCUACCCAUUCCAUCCAUCAUAUCAGCCGAGUCGAGGAGAUUAGUUCUUAUCUAUAGAUAAGGCAAGAGAGAACUUAUGACCUCGCGGAUGGAGAGGGAUUCGAACCCCCGAUAUUCCUAUCAAUACUUCGGUUUUCAAGACCGACUCUGUCAACCGCUCAGACAUCCAUCCCUGCGCUCGCCCUCCCUAUCUAUCUGCGCGCUGGCAGGUAGGGGCAACUCUAUGUGAUUCGCUACGCUUGCUUGCGCCCCACCCCGUAAGCUGACUCUAUUGCCUAGCGGUUAGCGACAAUUUUCCGGUAGUACGAAUCGCUACGCUUUGCUUCUUUCUAUAUGAUAAUAUGCACCGUCGGUUGCUGCGCUCCCUGUGGGUAAUAGCAAGAGAGUGAAGAACGAACGAUCCUCAAAAAAGUCAGCAGUGAAUGAGUCCGACUCGAGUUCGUGAGUCAAAGGCAUGGCAAGAGAGCAAGUUCGACUCGCGAACGAUCCACAAGUGAAGGAUCGAUCCUUUAACGCCAGUACUGUUGCGAGACUCGUACUUGGCGGCUCACGAGCAACAUAUAGAAAAAGGUUGCCCAUCACUCCCUCGCUCCUUUUUGAAGGCCCACCGCUCCCCCUUUCUUUAAGUAUCUAUCCCGGCUUGCAUUUUGGGGCGAGUACUACAGUUCCUCCAUAAUCACACAGAACGCCCAGCUUCGCAGAGCUGCUCUCUCCCCAGUCCACAGCAAGGUGUGGAAUCUGGAUCUACUGUGUGUUCUGACUCUAUUGGAUCAAGUCAGAUACUAAGCCUUCUACUACUACUACUACUUAGGAGAUCAAAUGCUAUAUUUCAGAGAUUGGACUCUCUUACUGUGUUUUUUCAGGGUUGUUCCCGAGCCAGGUUCCCUGGAUCCAUUCUUACCUAAAUGGAUGAAUGAAGAAGGGGGCGAGCAGAUACGACGACCACACACACUUCUUUUUAGCCGAAUAAAGCCGGAUCUACUACACGGCUAGGAUCAGAGAAAGAUUGAGAAAGCAAGAUCAAACCUACUCUACUGUCGAUUCUAAAGGUAAACAACCCCCGAAGACUUUAUCAAUGAAUGGAUCAAAGAAGUUUAUCUAUCUAAGUCAUCGUAUAUAAGGGAAGAAGCCCGCCCCUGAUCAAAGAAUGAAGAAGCUAGCCCGGGUAGACUUUAAGAGCUCUUGCUCUGCCUAUCCGUCUCGCUCCGUCUUGGAGGUCAUAGAAAGAUACGAAGGGCCUACUCUUUUAAUUAAAGCCCUACUCUUAAUAAUAGUGAAAGCCCCCUACUCUUACCUACUUUGACUCAUAUCUUCAGUAUACCUCAAUACAAGACAAGCACUGGAAAGGAUAUUCAAGAAAAACCGGGCUAUCGCCCUAUCUAAGCGGGUUUCCCCUCUCCCUCCACACCGCAUUCGAAUUAUAGAUUGAGUUGAUCUCAUUAACCAAUUCUAGUGUCCAAAAACUACCAUGAAAUCUCCUGCGAAAACAAACCAUUCAUGAAACUCAUGAAGGAGCAUGCGGUGGUCACAUUAAUGGACAUGCGCUAGCUAAGAGAACUUCUUAAGUUAGGGUACUAUUGGCUGGCUUACUAUGGGGAAGGGGAGAAGGCAAGCCGCGUAUGGAUUGAUCCCUAAUUCAGUUCAUUUUUCGUGGUUUUCUUUCCAUCUCACAACUUCCAUUUCUUGAACCGACCUUGCCCGCUGGAGGUAUGAUUCCGAUCUUUGAAUCGAAUUGGAUUUUUUGUCUUAAAGUGAGGGCGAUGAGUGGGGAAGGAAGCUGACGAUUUUAUUAGUGUGUAAGGUGGCCCCGAGAGGUGAACCAAAGCCAACCGUUUCGAGACCAGGGAGCUUUAACAGUUUCUACUUAAACUAUGUGUGCAGCUAUGUGUUCAGAUUAUGCUAUUUUAUUAGUAGCUUUCGGUCUCGAUUCGCCCUUACCUCGGAGGGAUCAACUACUUCGCUUAGGCAAAAGAUUGAAAAAGUCUGUAUCUGUCUACAUGUGCCUCCGUCUAUGUUACCCCUUCCCCGGAAAGGAGAUUAUAUGUUUAGUAAAAAAACGAGAAUAAAAAAUCAAAAAGAAAGAAGAGAAAGAACUGGGAGUUGGCGCCUACAUAACAGGUAGCUUGCUUACCAAGCCAUCUUGGCAAGCUCCUACAAUUCUCUUAUUACUCUUGACUUGACUUAUUAAUAAGAAAACUACUCACUAACAAAAUGAAAGACGAUCUAGAAUCUACCCAAGAAGAUAGAGAGUCCCACAUACGAGAAAAGGUCACAAAUGGAGUUGAACCAAGUAACAUUGCAAAGGCAUAAUGAUAGUAGGGUCGGGAUAUCCCCGCCCUCCGAACCGGACGUGAGGGUCUCCCCUCAUCCGGCUCUCCGCAGGGGAAUCUCCACUCACUGCUUCCCCUAAUAUCCUCCCUUUACCACAUCAUGGGGGUUUACAGGAGAUCCCAGAGACUCGCUCGGAAAGGCUGCUAUACCAAACAUUAUUACUUAACUACAAAGAAAGAAAAGACUAUAGUAGUCACUAGACUGACUAUAGUAGUCCGUCCGGCUGCUCUUGCUUAAAUCAUUACUCUUCAUUCUCCUGUGCUCUAGCAAUUGCGCUCCCUAGACCACUACCAUUUAGUUAGGUAGGGACAAUCAAUCCAUAGUUACGGGAAUAACGGAAUACAUGGGGAUAAUUUUUUUAGAAAAAUGCAGAUUUUCUAUGAAAUCCUUUCUUUCCAUAGAUGUAUCUGGUCUGAGACGGUACAGUACUCUACGAGAGGAAUGCAAUGGGAUGGAUGGUAGAGGGCUGCCUGCGCCCAAAAGCGAUGAUUCACUUGUCCCCUUGUCUAUAGGGACCUUGUGGCAUACAACCGCCACGACUCCUGCGUUAUAGCCGCCCCUUUCUCUCUUUCUUUUGACUGCCUUGUGGACGGACGAAAGAAGGGAAGUUACAGAAGGGGGCAGUGAAGGCUCGCCAAGUAGACAGCAAGCCCCCACCCCGUCAGUCCUGUGUUGCCGUAGCGUGCCCUACUUCAAUAAGGUAUUACCUCGCCGAUUUUAAAGGGGAUGGGAUUGGAUUCAUUCACUUGCAUUCCUGCUAGCACUAAAAAAGCUCCGGUCUUAACGCCCCUACAGAAGCUGUGCAGCCUUUCCUUAGGUUCGUAGAGUCGGGUUUCCCGUUUACCCACAACGGAGGAGCCGCCCCCACCAACCAAAGCAGGUAGGCGGCCACGGUUCAUAACGCACUCUUCGCACAACAGAUCCACUUUGAAGUUGACUUAUUCGCUCGGCCAAUCGUCGGAAUGUGUAUGAGAUACCAUAAGGGCCCAAUAUCUCAAUAGCACCCUUGUCUAAAGCUUCGAAUGAGACUGAAUAUCCGAAACGCAGGAACGAUCUGACUAGAAAGUCAUUCAAAACUUGAUCGAAGAACCAGCGUUUAUUGAAGAAGCUAUAGAGUCGAUUACAAAAAGUACUAGUUUGAAAGGCUCGUUGGAAUUGAUCCGCUACGAGAUUUACAUUAUACGCUAGAGAAGCACCUGAAGUACUAAACAGAAUAGGUAUUAGUUUUGUAAUGGUUGGGGCAGCAAACUCGGAUUCGGCAAGAAUCUCAUUUUUUGGUAGUACGAAGGGGGAAUUGGCCCAAAAAUUGGAUAGGGGUAAAGACGCAGCCGGGUGCCGGCGGCUUAUUCAAGUGCCCCCCGAACCGCGCGAAAUGGUCGCCUAUUACACGGCUCACAAACUCUGC
This 67905-nucleotide long non-coding RNA is filed under the name Hordeum vulgare. RNAcentral's name for it is "long non-coding RNA (HVUL_LNC002787)". The record is from RNAcentral. Lineage: Eukaryota; Viridiplantae; Streptophyta; Magnoliopsida; Poales; Poaceae.